CUCCCUUUCCACAGCAAACACACUCCUCUCCCUCGCCUCUCAUUUUUUCCUCUUUCUCUCUCUAAAGCUUGGGCUAGGGUUGGGAGAGAAGGAGAAGAAGCAAGGAGAAGAAGAAGAAAGAGGCUUGGAGAAGGAUUUUGGUGGGUUUAGCAAGCUCUCCUACAAGAAGGACUUGGGGGAACUUGGGCAAAGGUGAGUUCUUUAGCUCUAGAACUCUAGGAUUUCGUUUUAAACCUUGGGAUUUAGAGUUUUGAUCCUCUAAUUAACCUAGAAAUCCUCUAAAGACCAUGACUCCAUGAAAAACAUGGUUUUCUUGGACCCCUCUCAUGGUGGAUCACUAGGGCUCAAAGUAGAUACCCUAGGGAUGGUUCUAAAGGCUUAGAAACCUUAUUAGAGAGCUUCCCAAGUGAAUCUAAGCUAUCUUUUGCUUAGCAAUGAGAUCAAUCUCGGAGAAAUGCAAAAAUGACAUGUUAGGGCGAGGGGUUUUGCCCAAGUUAGGUUUUGAUCUAUUUUGAUCAUGUAGAAACCUAAUUGAGGGUAUUUUAAAUGCGUUGGAACGCUCGGUUCGACAAUCCGACGAGUGUACGCAAAGUUAUUGACAAAAACGUCAUUUUCCGUACAGAUAGCCGCAGCACGCGGAUUAGGGCUUCAAAAAUUCCAAGAAACUCACCGUAGCAUCCUUGUAACCAUCUAAGGUGGGUGGUGCAUUCCAAGGUCAUCGGAAAUCCCUUUAUGUCUAAGUGUCAUAUUUUGAGCAUAUGUGCAUUUUUGAGCAUCUUGCAUAAUAGAGUUAAUUGUGAGCUUUUAUAGCCUAAUGUAAAUUCAAAUGCAUGUUAAAUGUUUGUAAGAAUGUGAGAAUGAUGAUCCCUAUGUAUGCAUGGUUGUGACAAGAACCUAGAAGGGUUAGUAAACGAAAAGUGACACUUUGACAUAGAUCUAGCAAGUGACAUCGACGAGUCUAGAACCCUUAGUAAACAAGUGUGACAUUUGGCAUGAGUACAAGAACUUGAUAGUGUAUAUAAUAUUAGUGAUAGUAAAGAAUGCAAAGGAAAAAAUGAUUGAGAUAAUAUGACGUUUCAACCUUAGUGUUAUGGGUCAUUGAGCAUAGUCUUCCUUAAAGUUAAGGAAUGGAUUGAACUUGGAAUCCUCAAAUGUAGGAUUGAUUGUACUCACUUUAGUCCUUGCUCGAGGUUGUGGUAGCUCCCCCUCGGGCGAUGUGCUCCGGAGUCGACAUCACUGGGUUGUAGCGAGUAUCUCCCCAGAGGGCGGUCCCAUCGGGUUGUAGCGAGUAUCUCCCCGAAUAUUGGGAUUUUGAGUUGGUGAGUUUGUUGAGGGCGAAACCUACGGGUUAGCCAAGAGAUUGGGUAUUGACACUAUGACCUUGCAUCCGUCAUGAGCUUUACAUUGUGCAUACCAUUUUAUAUUGUCCAGGCAUAUUAGUUGCAUUUGUUACUUGGUUACUUACUUUCUUUCAUUCUAUUAUGCCUGAUUAGACCUAGUGGGAUAGUCGGCGUGGUUGGUUGCCGAACCCACUGGGAACUUUGUCGUAGUUCUCACACCCCUAUUUCCACAGAGCCGGGACCCAGCGAGCCGGCGGACGAUCGUGGUAAGGGCAUCGCGCCCUAGGUAGAGACCGCCCGAGAUGUUUACUUACUCUAGUUGCAUACCCCUUUUGUUAUAUCAUGGCCACAUAUUUAAAUUCUAAUUUAAAUUAAUUAGAUACGGGUAUGAUUGUAGUUUUGUGAUAAACCCGUUAUUAAAUAUUUUUUAUUUAUUUGUACCGUCGGAUUAAGCGGAUUCGGUUGGAUUUGGUUUUCGGAUUAAUUAUACUCUAAUACUAGUUAGAGUAGGAUUGAGAUUUAGCCCUAAUUAAUCACCUAUAAAUAGGUAAUUUAGGAAGAGUGUACGGCCAAAAAUAUUAUAAUAACAAAUAUUGUUGCCGGAUUCUUUGUGCAAGCAUGGCCGCCGGCGGGAGCAAGAUCCGACAAUCGUGGGGGAGAGGAAAAAGAACGAGAGCGAGGUGAGUCUCCAAUAAUUAGUUUUCUCAUUUUUUUCUCUCUUUUCUUUCUUCUUCUACCUCCUAAUCUUAUCCUCUCUCCUCGUUGUAUCGUCGCCGCCAUCGCCGUCGCCGUCGCCGUCGCCGGAGUGGUCGCCGGCCACCUACGGACGGGUUGGGGUGAACCCCCUAUGGGUUAACCGUGGUUGGCCAUGAGAGAGGUAUGAGAGAGCUUCUUUGUUUGAGUUGGGAAGAAGAAGAGAGUAGAUGGGAUUAUUUUGGAUCUGGCUAGACCUGGUUCACGGUGGACCACGUUAAUUUUUGCAUGAUUUAUUUUUAUAUUUAGGUUUCAAUUUAUCGUAACGAUAUUGAACGUAAUUAAGUUGUUAAUUAGAGUGUUUUGCCUCUAUCGGUUGAAUUAUAUUUAAUUGGAAAAGCUUCUGGUGCACGUUGUUGAUGCUGGAUCGGGUGCAGCGAAAUUUUGGUACUUAUAAUGGCUUAAAAGAUCAGUCAGGGACCAAUCUGUAAAUAGCAGUUUUGGUUUUGGGGACUGAUUCGUAAAAGAGGCAUAACUUUUUGUCCGUAAGGCGGAAUUUUGUGAUUCAAGCGCUAUAGGACUCGUCUUGAAAAUACAGAUAAGAUCGUGUGGUCCAAUUAUCCUGAUUUAAUGUAUAAUUUUUGCAGAAUUUUUAAUAGUUAAAGGGCUUGUUUGAAAAUAUAUUUUAUUUGGGUCUUUUCAUCGUUGUAGGUGCUGAGACAGCCGUAAAACCUUAAUCUUAGAACGUGAUGAAUUUGUGAGCACUAAUAGAGACAAGUAAAUAGCUACUUUCUGCAAACGGUAGAAAAUAUGCGGAUCCGAGUGGGUUCGGGACAUAAUUAUUAUCUGUUCUGUUUACUAAUUGGUGAUACAUCCGAGUGGAUUUUAUAAUUAUUAUUAACGGACAUGGUUUAUUUAUUUUGCACAUUAUUAUUAUCAUGUUCUAUUAUUGGAUAUGACUGUUGCGGUCGGAUUCCUCGGAGUUGAGGGAUUUAUCCGGUACGCGAUUUCCGAGGAGAAAUAGCGUGUAAUUGUAGCUCUCGCGGUUAGAGCGACGGAGUGGAGAUGCUCUAAAUUAUGACCUUUGUGGUUUCAAAUUUAAAUUAUCGUUAUUCUUGAAGUAGAUUUCUUGUUAAGCAUUGCGCUUACUUUUGUUGUCUACUGUUUCAGGUACCGAGAGUCGGGGUGUGUGAGAUAAUUGGCCAGCGAGAACUCGUUAGAUAGAUUUCAAAUUUUGGACAUAUGAUUUAUUUUGACAUGAGAUUGAUUAUAUGGACAUUUAGAAGUUAUUGUUUAGUUUCGUUUUAAUUAAUAAAUUAUUUAGUUUAUAAUUGAGAUGGUGGCUUUGGAUCAAUUUAAGGCCUUCCAUUUUCGGAGGUUCUUCCUCUGAAUUCGUGGCCAGUUGUUGCGGUUCAGAUCCGAGCAGUCGGAUCUGGGGCAUGACAGCUUUAGUGGUAUCAGAGCCGAAUACUAGCCGGAGGUGUGAGAACUAACUGCUAUGCGGGACAAAGUGCUACACCAAUGGGUUUGGUGGGAGCCACCUCUUGAACCCGUAGGAGCCACCUCUAGAAUCUCACAUCGCCUAGUAAUGGUCCUGGUCUGUCUGUCUGUGAUCUAGUUUGGACCCGACGAGGACGUCAGGGUCUAAACAGGGGGAGUUUGUAACACCCCCAAUAGUCCCACAUCAGAUGGGAUACUGAUUCCGAUCAGUUUAUAUGAGACCUACACGCUAGUAAUAAUAACUGGGCUUAAGCAUUUUGGGCCGACUAUUGGGCCCAACGAGUUAUUGUUGCUAGUGGGCUAGGUCGUUACAUUUGGUAUCAGAGCCGGUUCAUCAGCUGGACAUAUGUAGAGAGUCUCGGCUGAGCCAGGGUCUGGAUGAUGGGCUAGCGAGACGAGUCUCACAUCGCCUGGUGAUCUUGGGUUGUGUGUGUGAUGGACUGACGAGGACGUCAAGGCCUUAACUGUAGCACACUGGACCUUUGCAAAUUAUGAGGUUCGAGUGUUUGGACAGUGUCUUGAGCUUUUCCAGACUUUCUGGUGGGUCGUUGACAGUGUUUCGACCUAUGGCCCGUGUCCCGAGAAUUGUGGUUUAAAGUUGUGUACCAAAACCCGAAAAAUCAGAUUCUUGGCCACCUCUCGGGUUGCCUUCAGAAGUCUUGUACCGGUACAGGGUUGGUGGUUGUACCGGUACAAGGUUGAUGGUUGUACCGAUAUAGCCACCGGGCUUGUACCGGUAUAGAGCCGCGGAACCCUCCAGACCCGAGCCUCGGGUUUGUGAUUUUCGUAGGGCUUGUACCGGUACAAGGGCCCGUGUACCGGUACAAGGUGGCAGAAUUUGAGCAGUUUGAACUGCAGGGGUGUUUUUGCGAUUGUGGGUCUCUUAUAACAGCACCCACACCCCUAGGGCUGCUCUUUGAGCUUGCCAAUGCAGAGAGAAGGUAAGGCUCCUCCAUGCUUCUCCUUUGGAUUUGAUCUCUUUUUAGCUUGGGAUUUAAGUGUUGAUCCUUCUCUUUUCCCUUUUCUUUGCUUUUCCACCAUUGUGAAGCUUGGAGCUUGGUCUUGGUGGAUUGUUGAGGGCAGAUCUUGGGAUUUCAAGAGUUUAGAGCUUUGAUUGAAGCUUCUAAGAGGUAAUCCACUUAUUCUCUCCCUCUAGAUUGGAUUUUUAUUGAUGGUUUUGAGAUGAAACCCUAGAAUGAGGUUUUAGGGCUUAUUUUGGGCAUUUUGAAUUUAGGGCUUUUGGAGCUAAAUUAGUUGGAUUAAAAUCUUCCUUUGGGUUGUAUUGGGAGGAUUCUAGCUCUCUUUUGGAGCUUGAGGGAGAUUUUCUACACAUUAGGUGAGUUUUAGCCCUUUUGCCUUGUUGGUUAAUGUUUAAUUUUAUAGUUGAUUGUAAUGCCCGUGUAUCAUUUCGCUCAAUACUUUUAGGGUAUUUUGAGACUCGGGGACAACUUCGUUCGGCGAAACGAGGCACUACGCGACGGUUCGGUGGGUUUGACCUAGCCUAUAAUAUGAGAAAUUCUCAUAUAUGGCGAUAUAUGUUUCGUAAAUUGGAAAAGCAUGCAUGUUCAUACUAAAUGUAUUUAUUAUGAUUUUUAGAAUGCUUAAAAUGCCUAUGUUACAUGUAAUGAAAUUUUGGAUCUCUAUGUAGUAGAGGAUAGCAUAUGAAGCUUAUGCGGAAUUUUUGGCAUUCUUAUGUUGGAUCAUGUUCCUUAGUGUAAAAAGAGCUUCGAUUCAUGCAUUUAAACCUAAGUUUAAUUGAGUCAUGAAAGAUAACUAAUAUGCCAUAAAGAGGCACCGAACCGGAAUGUUAUGUGAUUUAGAGAGCUAAUGCCAUCAAGCGACAUUGAGCUCGGGACAUAGGUGAACCUAGUGGAUAGGGCCAUUGAGGAAUGUGGAACAUGCUUAAGUAUUGAAUGUCUAAGUGUCAUAAAGGGACACUAGACCUAGAGAACAUUGGAACUUCAUUUUGUGAUUUAGAACUAGAUCUUCGGGAUGCUAGUGACUAUACUAUGUUAGAGACAUGAUGAUUGGAUACGUGAGACGCUGACUAUGCUUGCUUGCCAUUUGUGCUCAUUCGCACAUGCUUGUGAGGGUCGCUCCCUACAAGCCGGCACUCCGGAGUUAGCCUACGCGACUUAUGUUCGCUCGUGCGGUAUUGAGAAGCCUACGGGGUCAAGUGGGACAGACACAUUCCAAGAGUAGGAAUGUCGGGCUACCACAGGCACUUAGGCAGCACAAGCUGCACUACCUUGGGUAGGCCCUUAAUUGGAAAUGAAAAUCGACACAGUGUUGAGUGUGUUUUAAUCACUACUAGAUAGAGAUUAGUAGUUGGAUUACUUGGACUUGCUUCUAGCAUAGUUUUGGACACUUGAGUACACAUAUACUUACAUGUAGUAUGCUAGGAGAUAUUGCUUAUUGCAUUCAUAUAUACAUUAUUGCCAUGAUAAAGUAUAAUCCUUAUAACUUUAAAGUGAACUGUGACACUUACGUAUAGCUAUAUAGAGACAUAUUGGUUAUGAUAAAGUAAAGGUGCAUUAUUUUUAACACCAUGUUUAAUUGCAAUAUAGUGGCUUAGCAUUUUAAUUUUGCUCUCAUAAAUGCAGUUUAUUCUUUAUUAUUGCUCUUUUGACUUACCCUUUUCUUUUGGGGCCUAGUGGUGCAUUGAGCUGAGGUCAGUAAUUGCCCACUGGGAACUAUAAAUUAUAGUUCUCACGCCCUCUGUUUUAUGUUUCUUUCAGAGCCUUCCACGCCGGGGGAGGCCAGGGAUCGCGGAAAGGGUAUCGCCUCGGGCUAGUGUUCUUCGCCGAGGGAUCGUUCGAUAGGUGGCCCACCUCUCUUUGUUUCUUUUUGUGAGAGGUUGAGAGUUGUACCAGUGUACUAGAGACCACCCUUUUGUGUACCUUUUGGGACAGAUAUUGUAUUACCUUAUGGUUUACUUUUACUGUUUAGUUGUAUCCUUUUACUUUUGCUAUAGAAGGUAGAAUCAUACUGCUUUGAUAUCAUUAGUUUUUGCUCUUUCCUUUCGGCUGUGUUUCUUGCUUUAUUUCUGCUGUUGAUGUAGACGCCUUAUAUGUGUUGACAUAUGGCGGGUCUGGGCACGCUACCGGAAGGGCCUCUGCCGGUCCCGGGGCGUGACAAAUUAAUUUGGUAUCAGAGCCUAGGGUUGAGUCUUAGUGGACCUAGCAAACCUUAGGCCGGUUGGACUAUAGGAAUUAGGCUCGUGAGAGACGAGAUCUAAUCUAUUUUUGAAAGAAAGUAUUAUGAUUGGGUUUUAUGACAACUCUAAAAAGUUAGAGUUUGAUCGAAGUGUAUGGCUUCUAACUUCGCGGAGGGUUACGUUGGCGGCCGACAACGUAACAUCGGGAGUUAGUAGUGGAGGACACUUCUUUACUUUUGCAUGAUUUGGAUUUUAUCUAUUUGAGCGGGGAUGUGGUAGCGUGGGUUACUAACUUGCACUUUUAUGUUUUGUAGUGACGAUGCCGAUUACACGCUCCCAGUCUGCCGGGGCGGAUGAUGCGGCACACCCCGAGGAGGCCGAGACCUCCGCUACUUCCGGAUCUAGUGAGGUCCGUGACUUGAGGACCUAGCUUGCGGUCCUUACUAAUCUGUUGGCGCAGCAGACGGCAGCGGCGCAGCGACAGGCUGAGGUGGCUCAGCGGCAGGAGGCGCGGAUGAAGCAUCUUGAGGACCUCCUACUUCAGCAGGCGGCAGCUUCGAGGGAGACCCAGGUUCCCACACCGCCAGCACCCGUGGUGGACGUCGCACCGAGGGCACAGUCCCCCGCGCCCAGUUCUUCACGUGCGGCACCAGCGACCACACCUCGGGAGGAGGUGGCUGCGGCACCCGCAGUUCAGAGACCGGCCACGGGGGCAGCUUUCCCCGUGAGGGCCGAGGGAGCCGAGCGGGAUUGGCUCAUGGAUCGCCUCAGUGAGUUCAGGAGGUGCAGCCCGAGGACGUUCGAUGGCAAGAACGUCGACCACUGGAUUGUUCAGAAGUGGUUGAUGCAUAUGGAGAAGCUUUUUCGAGACACCUUUGUGGAGGAGCGGGACAGAGUUUGGCUCGCCACUCACUUUCUCGACGGCGAGGCCGUUGGUGGUUGGAUAUCUAAGACAACCGCAACACUGACUUGGCAGCGAUUACUUGGACGAGGUUCAAGGAGCUCCUUCUGGCGCACUACUUCCCGACUAGCGUCAAGAGAAAGAUGGAGCAGGACUUGCGCAGCUUGAGCCAGGACGAGCGGUCUGUGGCCGAGUACGAAAGGGAGUUCUCUCGGCUACUUCACUGUGUACCGUUUGUUGUGAGGGACGACGAGGACAAGGCCCGCAUUUUUUAGCGCGGAUUGCGGCCUUCUAUUUUCCGAUUGGUGCAAUCUUCCAACCUCCAGACCUAUCGAGAGGUUGUGGAUCGAGCAUUGAUUGUAGAGGCUGGAGCGGCAGAUCUUUAGGAGCGUCGCGAGAGCUCGGAGAAGGGGAAGGAAAAGAGGCCCGCGACCGAGAGUGUGAGUCAGACGCACUCAUGGAGGCCGCCAAGGCACCCCAGGAGUCGGAGCCGGUCGCGGGGACGUGGCUCGUUUACUCAGCGAAGAGGACCCGAUCGUCACCAGGCCCCCCGCUGCGUGAUCUGUGGCGGUCCUCAUUACCCGCGGCAGUGUUCACGCAGCCGGGGCAGGUGCUUCUUGUGUGGCCAGGAGGGCCACUUUCAGUCGUACUGCCCGAGGAAUCCAUCGACAGCGCCAUCUUCGACAUCUGCACCAGCAUCGCCAGGUCCGAGUCAGGGGACAUCUUCUGCGCACCACCAGGCCGGACGGCCACCUGUUCCGUGGCAGGCGGAAGGGUCACGACAGGCCCCGAGCGGGUGCAUGUACGCGGCCCAAGCUGAGGAGGCGGCGGCAGCCGAGAAUAUGGUCGCAGGUAUCAUUUUACUUCAUGGUAUUCGAGUUAGAGCAUUGUUUGAUACCGAUGCAUCGCAUUCAUUUAUAGACCGGCUGUUUGCCGAGUUGUAUGGCAUCCCACUUGUAUCUUUGUUGCACCCGGGCCGAGUUGUUGUACCCGACCAUUCCUUGGACAUUCGGGAGUUUUGCCCCAGUUGCCCUAUUCGAGUUGGAGAUUGGAUCAUGCCCGCGGACUUACUAGUGUUGCAUAAACUCGGAGAGUUUGAUGUUGUGUUGCGCAUGGAUUGGUUGACUAAGUACUACGCCACUAUCGAUUGCAAGGAUCGAAUGGUGACAUUUAGAGAGCCGGGGCAGGCGGAGGUUGUGUACCAAGGAUGCCAGAGUUCGCUGUUUGCGAUGACGAUUAGCUCUUCUCGAGCUCGGCAGUUGAUUAGUCGAGGCUGUGUGGCCUACUUGGCUACUGUUGUGUUGAGGGGUGAUGAUGAUACCCCCAGGAUUGAGGAUAUCCCCGUAGUGCGGGAGUUUGGAAAUGUGUUCCAAGCUGAGCUUCCGGGCACGCCACCGGAUAGGGAGAUUGAGUUUGUAGUGGAUCUCGUUCCCGGGACCACACCAAUCUCAAAGGCGCCCUAUAGGAUGGCACCAGAAGAAUUGAAGGAGCUGAAGGCACAGUUGCAGGAUCUUCUGGACAAGGGUUUUGUGCGACCGAGUGUGUCACCUUAGGGAGCACCGGUCCUAUUUGUUAAGAAAAAGGAUGGAUCACUUCGUUUGUGCGUGGACUAUCGUGAAAUUAACAAAGUCAUGAUCAAGAAUAAGUAUCCAUUGCCGAGGAUCGACGAUCUAUUUGAUCAGCUACAGGGCUCUAGUGUGUAUUCCAAGAUCGACCUACAGUCGGGAUAUCACCAGUUGAAAAUUAAGCCUGAGGAUGUGUCGAAGACGGCUUUUAGAACACGGUAUGGACAUUAUGAGUUUACCGUUAUGCCGUUUGGGCUUACUAAUGCCCCGACAGCUUUUAUGGAUCUAAUGAACCGUGUUUUCAAGCCUUUUUUAGACAGGUUCGUUGUGGUAUUCAUCGACGACAUCUUAGUGUAUUCCCGGAGUGAUGCGGACCACGAGGAGCAUUUAAGGCUUGUACUUCAAGUGCUUCGGGAAAAGAAACUCUAGCCAAGUUGAAGAAGUGUGAAUUUUGGCUUAGGGAGGUGGCGUUUUUGGGCCAUUUGAUUUCAGGAUCAGGCAUAGCUGUGGACCCGAGAAAAAUUGAAGCUAUCAAGGAUUGGCUGAGGCCGACGAGUGUGACCGAGAUACGGAGCAUUCUUGGCUUGGCCGGCUACUACCGACGAUUUGUCGAGGGGUUUGCAAGAUUAUCUACUCUCCUCACGAGGCUCACGCAUAAAGGCACCAAGUUCAUUUGGAAUGAUGCGUGCGAAAGGAGCUUCCAAGAGUUGAAGCAGAGACUAACUACCGCCCCGAUCCUAACCUUGCCAGUUACUGGAGCAGGGUAUGUGAUUUAUAGCAAUGCUUCCUUUAAUGGAUUGGGAUGUGUUUUGAUGCAGGACGGGAAGGUGAUCGCGUAUGCUUCUCGCCAACUAAAGGAUUAUGAGAGGAACUAUCCUACUCACGACUUGGAAUUGGCGGCCGUGGUCUUUGCAUUGAAGCUAUGGCGCCACUACUUGUACGGCGAGCAAUGUGAAGUGUAUACGGAUCACAAGAGCUUAAAGUAUUUAUUCACUCAGAAGGAGUUGAACUCGAGGCAGCGUAGAUGGUUGGAGCUACUCAAGGAUUAUGAUCUGACGAUUCUCUACCACCCAGGCAAGGCUAACGUGGUGGCUGAUGCGCUAAGUAGGAAAUCAACGGAAAACUUAGCGAUGUUUGUGGUGAUUCAACCGCCGUUGAUCGAGCAGAUGAAGCGGUUGGAGUUGGAGGUGGUGGCUCCUGACACACCUUUGAGGCUGAUGACUUUGGUGGUGCAACCUACACUUAUGGAAAGGCUUAAAGAAAAGCAAGCUUCUGAUGUGGUGUUACAAAAGAUUCGAGCUAAGAUGAUUGAUGGUUGCGUCGGUGAUUUCACUUUGGACGGUGAUGGAUUGAUGUGAUUCCGCGGACGGUUGUGUGUACCGGCGGACUUGGGCAUUAAAGAGGAUAUUCUUCAAGAAGCACACCGAGCACUGUAUGCUAUACAUCCGGGAGGCACCAAGAUGUACAAGAACUUGAAGUUGCUUUAUUGGUGGCCCGGGAUGAAGAAGGAUGUUGGUGAGUUUGUCGCUAGAUGUUUAACUUGCCAACAGGUGAAAGCUGAGCACCGAGUUCCUGCGGGAAAGUUUCAGAGCCUACCGAUUUCAAUAUGGAAGUGGGAGAAGAUCACCAUGGAGUUCGUGAUGGGAUUGCCUCUCUCACAGGCCGGGCAUGACGCUAUUUGGGUGAUCGUGGAUAGGCUGACAAAAUCGGCCCAUUUCAUACCUAUCCACACUACUUGAACUGGUGAGAGACUCGCACAGGUUUAUUUGAAUGAGAUUGUGCGAUUGCACGGGGCACCUACUUUUAUAGUAUCAGAUCGAGAUCCCCGUUUUGUAUCCCACUUUUGGAGGAGCUUACAGGAUACUUUAGGUACGCGCUUGGAUUUCAGCACUGCUUUCCACCCCCAGAGUGACGGGCAGUCGGAGCGUACUAUACAGACUCUCGAGGAUAUACUUCAAGCUUGUGUGAUCGACUUCCAGGGAGGAUGGUCGUAGCAUCUACCUAUGGUAGAGUUUGCUUAUAACAAUAGUUAUCAAGCAAGCAUCAAGAUGGCACCUAUCGAGGCACUUUAUGGACGGAAAUAUAGAUCGCCACUUCAUUGGUGUGAAGUUGGCGAGAGAAUAGCUUUAGGCCCCGAUGUGCUCCAGAAAGCAGAGGACAAAGUUCGCAUUGCUAGGGAGCGACUAUUGACAGCCCAGAGUAGGCAAAAGAGUUAUGCUGAUAAGCGUCGACGAGACUUGGAGUUUCAGAUUGGAGAUCAUGUCUUCUUGAAAGUCUCGCCGACCAGAGGGAUUAGGAGAUUUGGAAUUCGGGGUAAGUUGAGCCCCCGAUACAUUGGACCGUAUGAGAUUCUGGAAAGUGUAGGCCCGGUAGCGUAUACACUUGCUCUACCGCCAAACCUAUUGGGUGUAUACAAUGUAUUCCAUGUAUCGGUCCUUCGGAAGUAUAUCCACGACCCGGCUCAUGUGUUGGAUGCUACACCAGUAGAGCUGAGGGACGAUCUGAGCUUUGAAGAACAACCCUUGAGGAUUUUGGCUCGCGAGGUAAAGAGGUUGCGGAACCGAGAGAUUCCCUACGUGAAGGUGCUUUGGAGCAAGCACGACGAGCGCGAGGCCACUUGGGAGUUGGGGAGCGCACUGCGGAAGCGCUAUCCCCAUCUUUUUUGGAUGGAGGCUUAAGGUACUUUGCCUUUUUCGAGUUUCGCGGACGAAACUCCUUUUUAGGAGGGGUGAAUGUAGCACACUAGACCUUUACAAAUUGGGAGGUUCGAGUGUUUGGACAGUGUCCUGAGCUUUUCUAGACUUUCUGGUGGGUCGUUGACAGUGUUCCGAUCUAUGGCCCAUGUCCCGAGAAUUGUGGUUUAAAGCUGUGUACCAAAACCCGAAAAAUCGGAAUCUUGGCCAGCUCUCGGGUUGCCUUCAGAGGGUCUUGUAACGGUACAAGGUUGGUGGUUGUACCGGUACAAGGUUGAUGGUUGUACCGGUACAGCCACCGGGCUUGUACCGGUACAGAGCCGCGGAACCCCCCAGACCAGAGCCUCGGGUUUGUGAUUUUCGAGGGGAUUGUACCGGUACAAGGGCCCGUGUACCGGUACAAGGGCCCGUGUACCGGUACAAGGUGGCAGAAUUUGAGCAGUUUGAACUGCAGGGGUAUUUUUGCGAUUGUGGGUCUCUUAUAACAGCACCCACGCCCCUAGGGCUGCUCUUUGAGCUUGCCACUACAGAAAGAAGGUAAGGGGAGCUCCUCCAUGCUUCUCUCUUGGAUUUGAUCUCUUUUUAGCUUCGGAUUUAAGUGUUGAUCCUUCUCUUUUCCCUUUUCUUUGCUUUUCCACCAUUGUGAAGCUUGGAGCUUGGUCUUGGUGGAUUGUUGAGGGAAGAUCUUGGGAUUUCAAGAGUUUAGAGCUUUGAUUGAAGCUUCUAAGAGGUAAUCCACUUAUUCUCUCCCUCUAGAUUGGAUUUUUAUUGAUGGUUUUGAGAUGAAACCGUAGAAUGAGGUUUUAGGGCUUAUUUUGGGCAUUUUGAAUCUAGAAUUUUUUGAGCUAAAUUAGUUGGAUUAGAAUCUUCCUUUGGGUUGGAUUGGGAGGAUUCUAGCUCUCUUUUGGAGCUUGAGGGAGAUUUUCUACACAUUAGGUAAGUUUUAGCCCUUUUGCCUUGUUGGUUAAUGUUUAAUUUUAUAGUUGAUCGUAAUGCCCGUGUAUCUCUUCGCUCAAUACUUUCAGGGUAUUUUGAGACUCGGGGACAACUUCGUUCGGCGAAACGAGGCACUACGCGACGGUUUGGUGGGUUUGACCUAGCCUAUAAUAUGAGAAAUUCUCAUAUAUGGCGAUAUAUGUUUCGUAAAUUGGAAAACUAUGCAUGUUCAUACUAAAUGUAUUUAUUAUGAUUUUUAGAAUGCUUAAAAUGCCUAUGUUACAUGUAAUGAAAUUUUGGAUCUCUAUGUAGUAGAGGAUAGCAUAUGAAGCUUAUGCGGAAUUUUUGGCAUUCUUAUGUUGGAUCAUGUUCCUUAGUAUAAAAAGAGCUUCGAUUCAUGCAUUUAAACCUAAGUUUAAUUGAGUCAUGAAAGAUAACUAAUAUGCCAUAAAGAGGCACCGAACCGGAAUGUUAUGUGAUUUAGAGAGCUAAUGCCAUCAAGCGACAUUGAGCUCGGGACAUAGGUGAACCUAGUGGAUAGGGCCAUUGAGGAAUGUGGAACAUGCUUAAGUAUUGAAUGUCUAAGUGUCAUAAAGGGGCACUAGACCUAGAGAACAUUGGAACUUUAUUUUGUGAUUUAGAACUAGAUCUUCGGGAUGCUAGUAACUAUACCAUGUUAGAGACAUGAUGAUUGGAUACGUGAGACGCUGACUAUGCUUGCUUGCCAUUUGUGCUCAUUCGCACAUGCUUGUGAGGGUCGCUCCCUACAAGCCGGCACUUCGGAGUUAGCCUACGCGACUUAUAUUCGCUCGUGCGGUAUUGAGAAACCUACGGGGUCGAGUGGGACAGACACAUUCCAAGAGUAGGAAUGUCGGGCUACCACAGGCACUUAGGUGGCACAAGCUGCACUACCUUGGGUAGGCCCUUAAUUGAAAAUAAAAAUCGACACAGUAUUGAGUGUGUUUUAAUCACUACUAGAUAGAGAUUAGUAGUUGGAUUACUUGGACUUGCUUCUAGCAUAGUUUUGGACACUUGAGUACACAUACUUAUAUGUAGUAUGCUAGGAGAUAUUGCUUAUUGCAUUCAUAUAUACAUUGUUGCCAUGAUAAAGCAUAAUCCUUAUAAAUUUAAAGUGAACUGUGACACUUACGUGUAGCUAUGCAGAGACAUAUUGGUUAUGAUAAAGUAAAGGUGCAUUAUUUUUAACACACAUGUUUAAUUGCAAUAUAGUUGCUUAGCAUUUUAAUUUUGCUCUCAUAAAUGCAGUUUAUUCUUUAUUAUUGCUCUUUUGACUCACCUUUUUCUUUUGGGGCCUAGUGGUGUAUUGAGCUGAGGUCAGUAAUUGCCCACUGAGAACUAUAAAUUAUAGUUCUCACGCCUCUGUUUUAUGUUUUCUUUCAGAGCCUUCCACGCCGGGGGAGGCCAGGGAUCGCGGAAAGGGUAUCGUCUCGGGCUAGUGUUCUUAGCCAAGGGAUCGUUCGAUAGGUGGCCCACCUCUCUUUGUUUCUUUUUGUGAGAGGUUGAGAGUUGUACCAGUGUACUAGAGACCACCCUUUUGUGUACCUUUUGGGACAGAUAUUGUAUUACCUUAUGGUUUACUUUUACUGUUUACUUGUAUCAUUUUACUUUUGCUAUAGAACGUAGAAUCAUACUGCUUUGAUAUCAUUAGUUUUUGCUCUUUCCUUUCGGCUAUGUUUCUUGCUUUAUUUUCGCUGUUGAUGUAGACGCCUUAUAUGUGUUGACAUAUGGCGGGUCUGGGCACGCUACCGGGAGGGCCUCUGCCGGUCCCGCGGCGUGACAUUAACGGGGGGAGUCUGUGACACCCCAAUAAUCCCACAUCGGAUGGGAAUGGGGUUGUCAUUGGGUUUAUAAGAGACUUAGACACUUGUAAUAAUAACUGGGCUUAAGCAUUUUGGGCAGGUGGUUUGGGCCCAACGAGUUAUUAUUGCUAGUGGAUCGGGUCGUUGCAAUUGGUAUCAGAGCCAAAUACCAGCCGGCAGUGUGAGAACUAAGUGCUAUGCGGGACAAAGUGCUACACCAAUGGGUUUGGUGGGAGCGACCACUUGAACCCGUAGGAGCCACCUCUAGAAUCUCACAUCGCCUGGUAAUGGUCCUGGUCUGUCUGUCUGUGAUCUGGUUUGGACCCGACGAGGACGUCAGGGUCUAAACAGGGGGACUUUGUAACACCCCCAAUAGUCCCACAUCGGAUGGGAUACUUAUUCCGAUCAGUUUAUAUGAGACCUACACGCUAGUAAUAAUAACUGGGCUUAAGCAUUUUGGGCCGGUUGUUGGGCCCAACGAGUUAUUGUUGCUAGUAGGCUGGGUCGUUACAAUUAAAAUAAAAAAAAAUGAUACCUCGGUGGAGGGAGGGAAAUCUUCAUGCAAAUACUGCAGAGCAAUCUGCAGAAGCUAAUUAAUGUUAACUAGUUAAGGGACCCGCGCGAUGUGGCGGAAAGUCAAUACAAUAGUAAAUUAUUAGAAUUAUGAACAUCAUUUUUUUCUAUUAUACAUUAAUAUUUUUAAAUAUUAUUUAUCUCCAUUGUCACGCUCGGGUACCAGCGGAAGCAUAUCCGGUACGUGCACAGACCUGCCAUACACCUGCAGUAUAUAAGGCGUCUACAAGAAAACAUGUCGAUAGAAGGAAUACAUAGAAGAAUCCUAUCCAGAUAUCAGAGCAAAAUAUAAGUCAUUAAUACCAUCAUCAGAAGAACAAAGAGUAUACUACCCAAAAUCUCAACAUCAUAAAGAAGUAUCAAAACUAUAAUCCCCGAUUCAAACUACUCAUAUACAUCACAGGGUUACUCAAAAUACAUGUACAAUGGUAGUCUCUCUAUACGCGGGUACAUCACCCUCGACCGUGGCACGAGUAGCAAGGUGAUCACCUAGUAAAAUAGCAAGCUAUGUCUAGCUAGACGCGACUCCCUUGCCGCGAUCCCUAGCCUCUCAUGUAGGUGGCUCUGUAAAACAACAAUAAAACAGGGCGUAAGAACUAUUAAACAAUAGUUUCCAGUAGGUAAGCCGCCAGCCUUGGCGAAUUAUACCACUAGGCUCAUGAUGUACUAAAUAAAAGUAAAAGCAAUAAUUGCAUGAUAUAUCUACAAUGCUAACAGGUGAUGAACAUGUAAUCAUACUUUCUAUAGUAAAUGAAUCAACUGAAUAAGAAGAGCAUGGCAAUUACUGUAAGCAUGAACAUAAACAUGAAUAUAAGCAUGAACGUGUAAGUAAAUACUGUACACUAUAACUGGUAAUCAUUCCUUACUAUUAGCUGUCAUUUGGAAUUUUAAUUUCAUUUAAAAAAAGACCUACACAAGGUAGUCCAGCUUGCGCCGCACCUAAUGGCCCCGUGGUAGUAUGCACUCCCCACGGCAAUCCACUUCGGCACCCAAUCCCGCACGGGCGAGCAAUCUGUCGCGUAGGCCAACUCCGGAGUGCCGGCUUGUAGGGAGCGACCCUCACAAGCAUGUGCGAAUGAGCACAAUGGCAAGCAAGCAUAGUCCAUAGUCCAACAUGUCUCAAUCAUCACGUUUUAACUUGCAAUGUUCUCGCUCUCGAUCCUUUGAUCGGAAUUUCAAUAUAAGGAAUAAUGACAAUAGCUAGUAUCCACUAGAUUAGUAAGCACAUGAAAGUAAUGUCAAUUUACAUAUGGCAUUAGAAACUUUUCACUAUCAAGGUACUAUCAAAAUAGUCACAUGGAAUGUCAUUAUUCUCUACUUUAUAGGAGCAUAAUAGAGAUGUCCAUUAGUUAUUCAACUGAACUAAACAUAACAUAAGUACUUUUAUGCAUAAGUGUUCUCUAAUUUAUAGAGAUUUCAUUUCAAAUAUAUCAAACAUUAUGGUGGUAUGUUCCAAGUCCUUUAUCAAUCACAUAACCAUAAAAGUGCACCUAUGCACCAAUUCUAUAGUAUCAUAUAGAACAUAGGGGAGCUUCACUUGCUCUGGUUAGGUCAAACCCACCUAUCACUAAGUCCAAUCCAACCCAAAGGAGUCCCGAAAUUUAGCUCAACUAGGCCUCAACCCUGCUAAAAACCAAGCAUCAAAACCUAUUGGAAACUAUUACCAAAAGUCCAAUUUCGGUAAAAUUCUCAAUUAUACUAAAUUGUAACUUGAAUCCCUGAUUUGGUUCACUUUAGUACUUCCAGUUGAACCUCUAAAGGCUCUCCAAUGCCAACCGAAGAUGAUUCCAAGGCCGGUUGCACUCUCGCUACGAACAACACCAAAACGGCAUCAAAAUACUCGCAUACUAGUUAAUAUAGCCGGAAUCUUGCGAAAUCAGUUUUCUAACUGAAAUUUCUACUUACCCCUGGUUGAAACACCUUCCAAACCAGUUCCCAAGGUCACCAAUUUAGCUCAAAGUGAAUCGGAAACCUGCUGCGAAGAAACUAUUCCCCACUGCAUUAAUUCGCUCAAUUAAACCGCGUUUAGUUCUGAAAUAGAAUCAUAAAUCACUAAUUACCUUUAUUCAGCUUCAAAGCAACUUUUUUCUGGACUUAAGUGGAGAAAUCACAGCUAGAUAACCCCUCUCUAGCUGCUGGAAUCCUUCUCCAACUCAGCUAAAAGCAACGAAAUCAAAACGGGUCAAAAUCCGACACUAAAUCGCAAACUAGAGAGAUAUUGAGCUAAUUACCUUUCUAAAGCUCUCUUUCAGCAACUCCCUGAAUUAGACAUGAAGAACACAGCCAAAACACUUCACUUCACCCUGCCAAAGCUGGCCCCAAGUCUUCCCAAAACAGUAAACGUCGAGCAGGGCGCAAAAUCGGCCGGAACGGCGAUUUCUACUCAAAGAGAGAGAAACUGUAAGGAAGUGAAUCCUCGAAAUCCGAGGAUUAGACUUCCUUUGGAAUCGACUGUUUGUCGAGUGUGUAGGCUUCGGAAAGUCCGAAGGUGAUUUUAAUGCCUAAAGCGCAUUAAGGAAAGGUCCACGGGAGCACCAGAGCGAAAUCUGCACUGGAGCAUAAAUGCUCUCGGGGACCGGUCCCUGGCAGGGAGGGACCGGUCCCAUCAGGUUGGGCUGCGGGGGUCUUUGAUGAGACCGGUCCCUGGCAGUGAAGGACCGGUCCCCGAACGUUGGCCCAGCAAAAAUAGCCGAAAUUUGGCUGUCCCGAAAAUCCAACUCUCGGGAACCGGUCUCUCGGACAAGGACCAGUCUCCCGGGGACCGGUCUCUCAGGCAAGGACCGGUUUACGAACGCGAAAUCCCCUCUGCCCGCAUGGAGGGCUCUCGGGGACCGGUCUCCCCGAGCUGGGACCGGUCCCUCACUACGAAAAUGCCCAAAGAGGGCUUGUUCAGAAGAUGAAAAGUUGAGGGGGCUAUCUACAAAAUGACCUUUAAUAGAGGCUGGGGGAUCUCUUCUCUCUCUCAUUUGCUCUCUAACCCUCUCACACUCUUUCCCUCUCUCUCUCUAGAAAGAAAAGAAGGAGAAGAAGAAGGAGAGGAAGAAAAUGAAGGAAAAGAGGAAGAAGUGGAAGGAGAAGACCAAGAAGAAGAAGAAGACCUUCUUCUCUCUUCCCUUCAAGCUAGAGCAAGCUUGGAGCUUAGUUUAGAGGUAAGCUCUAAAUCCUCUAAUGGUGUUUUUAGGGUUUCGGGAUUUUAUUGUUUAGAAAUGGUUCGAAUGGAACCCAGUGGAGAUGAAUAGAAGGUUCGAGCUCGAAUUUGAAGCUCGCACCACGGAUUUCCCCCUCGUUGCCAUUCUAGGGCACGGAUUUGGGAUUUUUGGAAAUCUAGGGUUUUGAUCUAUUUUAAUAGGUCGUAAACUAAAUUACUAGGUCUCGAAACACGUCGGCAAAGACGGUUUGUCGAUCCGACGAGCGAGUUUGGAGAAAUCGCCGAAUCGAGUACUUGAGGGCUCGCUUCGCCCCGAGGAGUUGAGGCAACGCGCAAGGACCGCAGCGUCGAGUUUUCUACCGUCGCAGCAUCACCAAGAGGUGGGUGGUGUCCAUCCCGAAGCAACCGGGCUCCCUUUUAUGUCUUAGUAUUUUGAGAUCUUGCAUCCUGUGUUCACAUGCAUUGUAGGAUAAUUAUGUAUUUGCCUUUUCUUAUGUUUCCUAGCUGAUAUCAGAUUAUGCAUUAGUUGCUAGAUAUAGGGGAUGAUGAGGAUUGGGUCGAGACUUGUAAUCCUAUAGUGCAGCAGUGAAAGAACGAUGCAAUAGUUGAAAUAAAGAACGAGUGGCAUCUAGUUGUUAAUAAACAAAGAACGAGUUGCAUGUAUGAGUCGUAGCGUAUAUGGAACCUAUUGACUAUGGUUACAGUAAUCCUAGAAGUUAGGGCACCCUUGAGGUGGGAGAAUUGGAUCAUACUCAUUGUCUGCUCCUAACUUGUGAUGGUCACUCCACACAAGUAGUGCGCCCCGGAGUCGGUCACGAGGGAUAGCCUAUGUGGGGUCCCGUGGGAUAGGGAUAGCCUAUUUGGAGUCCCGAGGGAUAGCUUAUGUGGGGUCCCAUAGACGGUCUCGGAUUCAUAGUAUCGAGACGGCUAUAUGAGUAGUGGGCGGAAUCCUGAAUGAGCCACGAGGUUAAUGAACGAGUAAAUAGCUUUACUUCUUGGACAUAUGAAGAGCUAGUUGAUUAUCUAUUUCAUUGUGCAUUCAUCCAUUACAUACAUGAUUCGGGCACGGUAGCGUAGCUUGCUAUUCUGUUAUUACAGCUUUCCAUAUCUAUCUAUCUGUUUAUCUACCUGUGCCCACUUGGACCUAGUGGGGAGACCGGCGGAGUCAGCGGCCGAACUUACUGGGAACUAUGGAAGAUAGUUCUCACCCCACUUUUUUCAGGUUCGAGCUCGGGUGUCCCCGACGAGCGCGAGGAUCGUGGUAAGGGCUUAGCGCCCUAGUUGCAUUAGCUAUCCACCUAUUUUGCAUUAGCUCCACCCUGUAUUUACGUUCGAGAGUAGAUGUUGUAUAGGGUGAGGUUUGAGUGCUUAUAUUUAUGUUUUGGAAGAUGUAAAAGCAUGUUGUAUAUAUAUAAUUAUGUUUUGAAGGUAAUCGAUGUAUCAAUGAAAUUAAAUGAAUGUAAUAGAUAGAACCUUUUCUCUUUAUCUACUUGUAUGUUUCAUACUUGUAUCUUAUUCUUAGUUGUUAGCACUGGUGGUGCUCCUUGUGAUCAUGCAUUUAUGAAUUGAUUUCUGGGUAAAUUCUUAUACACGAUCAGUUGGUUAGCCUUGGGCGAACAGGGGAGGUCCUGUCCGUUCGGCGUCUGUUCGACACGCUCGGGCUGGACUAAAUUGGUAGCGGUUGCGGGGCGUGACAGAAACCCUAGAGAGAGAAAGUGGGGAAGGUGCAAAACCCUUUUCUCUGAGCUCUAGCAUCAUCCACAAGCUCCAGGAGUCGUGCUGGGGCUAAAUAGAUAGGUAUAAGAAGUGAAAUUACCAAGUUAGCCUUACUGCCACGUAUCUGCCACUGUAUACCGGUACAAGGUAAUGGCUGUACCGGUACACAAUGCAAAAUUUCGCCAGAAAUACACUUUCUUGCUUCCGGCCAAUCGAUCACUUCUCUAACUUGUCCAAAAACUUGUCUAAGCCUUUUAGAAGAUGUAGGAUAGUUCCACUUAUCAUUCCACACACUCGAACUUCGCAAUUUGCUAAAGUUCAGUGUACUACAGUCACCCCUCCUAAAAAGAAGUUUCGUCCGCGAAACUUUAAACAAUUACCUCAAGAUUCCGUUGAGAAAGGCGGGGAUAGUGCUCCAAAAUUGCACUUUCCAAUUCCCACAUGGCUUCCCGUUCAUCAUGGUUGCUCCAAAGGAUCUUCACGUAGGGUGUCUCGCGGUUUUGAAGCCGUUUCACUUCUCGAGCUAGGAUUCUCACCGGAUGUUCCUCAAAGCUCAAAUCUUCUCGCAAAUCCACUAGGGUGUUUUCCAAUAUGUGGGUCGGAUCGAAAACAUAUUUCCGAAGUGUAGAUACAUGAAAAACAUUGUGCACUCCUGAUAGGUUCGGCGGCAAAGCAAGCCGAUACGCUACCGGGCCUGUCCGCUCCAACACCUCAUAAGGUCCAAUAAAUCGAGGACUCAACUUUUCUCGAAUACCAAAUCUUUUAACCCCCUUUGUUGGUGAAACUUUUAGGAACACAUGGUCGCCAACCUGGAAUUCCAAUUCUCACCGACAUUUAUCCGUAUAGCUCUUUUGUCGACUUUGAGCUGUCAGUAGACGUUCUCGUGCAAGUCGAACUUUAGCUUCGGUCUCUUGUAACACAUUUGGACCCAAAACUAGCCUCUUACCUACUUCACUCCAAUGAAGAGGUGAUCUACACUUUCUACCAUGAAGGACUUCAAACGGUGCCAUUUGAAUACUUGCUUCAUAACUAUUGUUAUAAGCAAAUUCUGCCAUAGGUAGGAACUGUGGCCAAUUGCCCUGAAAAUCAAUCACACAGGCCCGCAACAUAUCCUCAAGGGUUUGGAUGGUACGCUCGAACUUCCCGUCACUCUGAGGGUGGAAGGCAGUACUAAAAUCCAAUCGGGUACCCAGAGCCUCUUGUAAACUCCUCUAGAAAUGUGAUACGAAUCGGGUGUCGCGAUCUGACACAAUAGAAACAGGUACUCUGUAUAAUCGCAUAAUUUCAUCAAGGUACACUUGUGCGAGCCUCUUUCCUGACCAAACUAUAUGAAUCAGAAUAAAGUCGGCAGAUUUGGUCAAUCUAUCCACAAUUACCCAAAUCGCAUCAUGGCUUGCUUGUGAGCGAAGUAAUCCAACAAUGAAAUCCAUAGUAAUCCUCUCCCACUUCCACACAGGUAUCGGUAAGCUCUAAAGUUUUCCUGCAGGAAGUCGAUCUUCAGCUUUAACCUGCUGGCAGAUUAAGCAUUUAGCACCAAAAUCUGCAACUUCCUUUUUCAUUCCAGGCCACCAAUAAGUCAACUUCAAAUCCUUAUGCAUUUUCGUACUUCCAGGAUGCAAAGUAUACGGCACCCGAUGUGCUUCUUUUAAAAUUUCCUCUUUAAUAUUUGAGUCUGCUGGCACACAAAAUCUAUCACAGAAUUUUAACAACUCCUGAUCAUCCACUCGAAAAUCACCAACAUGAUCAACAAUGAUCUUUGCUCGAAUCCUUUGCAAAAAUUCAUCUUGAACUUGCUUUUCUUUAAUUCAAUCGAUCAGGAUAGGUUGCAUAACCAAUAACAUAAGUUGCCAAGGCGUGUCAGGAGCUACAACUUUCAAAUUCAACUGUUCCAUUGUCUUUAUCAAAAGUGGUUGCAUAGUCAUCGACGUCGCCAAAUUUUUUGUCGAUUUUCGACUUAAAGCAUCUACUACAACAUUAGCUUUUUCCGGGUGAUAGAGGAUAGUCAAAUCAUAAUCCUUGAGCAACUCCAACCAUCUGCGUUGUCUCAAGUUUAAUUCUUUCUGAGUAAAUAGAUACUUUAAGCUUUUAUGAUCUAUAGAAACCUCACAACGCUCACCGUAGAGGUAAUAGCGCCAAAGCUUCAGAGCAAAGACUACAGCAGCCAGUUCUAGAUCAUGUGUAGGGUAGUUCUUUUCAUAAUCUUUUAAUUGGCGAGAUGCAUAAGCAAUUACUCUGCCAUUCUGCAUUAAAACACACCCCAAUCCAUUCAGUGACGCAUCACUGUAAAUCACGUAAUCCACUCCAGGAACAAGUAGUGCUAGAAUCUGGGCAGUGGUCAGCCGUUCCUUUAGCUCUUGAAAGCUUCUUUCACAGGCCUCAUUCCACAGAAACUUAGCUCCUUUAUGUGUGAGUUGAGUGAGAGGAGUAGACAUUUUCGCAAACCCUUCUACAAAUCUUCGGUAGUAUCCCGCCAAACCAAGGAAACUACGAAUCUCUGUAACAUUGGUCGGCCUGGGUCAAUCUUUAAUCGCUUUAAUCUUCUUUGGAUCCACAGCUAUCCUGUCCUCUGAAAUUACAUGUCCCAAAAAUGCCAUUUCUCGAAGCCAAAAUUUGCAUUUUUUUAAUUUUGCAAACAGUUUCUUUUCUCGAAGUACUUGCAACACCACUUUUAAAUGGUUUUCAUGCUCCUCGUCACUUCGAGAAUAGAUCAAGAUAUCGUCGAUGAAUACAACCACAAACCUGUCCAAAUAUGGUUUGAAGACACGAUUCAUUAAAUCCAUAAAAGCUGCAGGGGCAUUUGUCAAUCCAAAUGGCAUAACUGUAAAUUCAUAAUGUCCAUAUCGUGUCCUAAAAGUGGUCUUGGAAACAUCUUCAAACUUGAUCUUAAGCUGAUGAGAACCAGAUUGCAAAUCAAUCUUGGAAUACACUUUCGAUCCAUGCAGCUGAUCGAAUAAAUCAUCAAUCCUAGAUAAUGGAUAUUUAUUCUUGAUGAAUAUUCUUUACAUCAUUCAUUUAAACAUGUUCUUGAUACCAAAAUCAUCAAAUACAAAAGGUGAUAUAUCAAAGGGUAUGCAACUAUGAAAUAGAACAUCUCGGGCGGUCUCUACCGAGGGCGCGAUACCCUUACCGCGGUCGUCUGUCAGCUCGCUCGGUCCCGGCUCUGUGAAAAUAGGGGUGUGAGAACUACAACAAAGUUCCCAGUGGGUUCGGCAACCAACCACGCCGACUAUCCCACUAGGUCUAAUCAGGCAUAAUAGAAUAGAAGAAAGAAGGUAACCAACUAGCAAAUGCAACUAAUAUACCUGAACAAUAAAAAUGUGAUGCUCGAUAUAAUGCUCAUGAUGAAUGCAAAAUUAUAAUUUCUUUACCCAAUCUCUUGGCUAACCCGUAGGUUUCGCCCUCAACAAACUCACCAACCCAAAAUCCUAUUUAACCGGAGAGAUACCCGCUACAACCCGAUAGGACCGUCCUCUAGGGAGAUACCCGCUACGACCCAGUGAUGUCGACUCGAGAGCACAUCGCCCGAGGGGGAGCUACUACCCUCGAGCAAGGACUAAAGGUGAGUACGAUCAAUCCUACAUUGAGGAUUCCAAGUUCAAUCCAUUCCUUAACUUUAAGGAAGACCAUGCUCAAAUGACCUUGAACUCUAUGGUUGAAAUGUCAUAAUGUCUCAAUUAUUCUUCCUUUGCAUUCUUUCUUAUCACUAGUGUCAUAUACACUACCAAGUUUUGCACUCAUGCUACACUUGUUUUCUAAGUGCUAUGUUCUUGUUCUCAUACCAAAUGUCACACUCGUUUUUCUAAGUGUUCUAGACUCAAACAUGUCACUCACUAAAUCUAUGUCCAUGUGUCACUUUGUUCACUAACCCUUCUAGGUUCUUGUCACUUAUCAAGCAUAAAUAGGGUUUUCAUCCUCACAUUCUUAUAAAUAUUUCAUACGAAAUUAAAUUCACAAUCAUAAAGUAAAGCUCACAAUUAACCCUACUAUGCACUAUACUAAAUAUAUACAUAUAUGUUCAAACAUGACAUUUUAGACAUAAAGGGAUUUCCGAGGUCCUUGAAAUGCACCACCCACCUCAAGUGGUCGUGUAGGUGAAGAAUACGACGACUCCCGAGCUUUACGAAAGCCACUUCCCCGUCCUAUAACCAAAUAGUGCCAUAUUAGGCCUUUUGUACAUGAACCAUACUUAAACAUUUUCGUAACGUCGAACGAAGUUACCCAACGCGUCGAGAACACCCCCAAUUAGGUUUCUACGGGAUCAAUUUGCCCUAGAAACACUCGGGGGCUAAAACCCCAAAUUUGGUGCCCUAACCUAACCCAUUGCUAAAUCCUAGGUCUUGAUCCCUAAAACAAGUAAAAGAGAGCUUGUUUAAUCUCUAGGAGCUCACCUAAGGCCAACUAGGCCAUUUCUAGAGCAUCCAAGAUGAAUCCUAGAAAUUCACCAUGAGAGAAGUCCAAGACAACCAUGGAUUUCAUGGUUUCAAGGUCUCUAGAGGGUUUCCUCACUUGUAGAGAGAUCAAAACCCAAAAAUCUAAGGUCUAAACCCAAACCCUAGACUUACUUUUGCAUAAGGACUCACCUUUGCCUAAGCUCCACCAAAGCCUUCUAGUUGGAGAGCUUCUAGGGCCACCAAAACCACCAAAAUCCACUUCUCCAAGCUCUUCUCCACCUUCUCCAAGCUCUAGGGCUUGCUUUCUAGAGAGAAAAAGGAGAGAAAAUGAGAGGGAAAGAAGUGUAUGUGUUUGCUGUGAAGAGGGAAGAGGGGAUGGGCCAUAUAACAUGUUGCAAUAUUUGCAAUUAAAUCCCCCAACUCUUUCUCUGUGCACUGCCCAGACUGGGCAUUUUUCGCAGUGAGGGACCAGUCUCCCCGACCUGGGACCGGUCCCCGAGAGCUCCUCCCGCGGACUGCGCAGGUUACGCGCGAUGCAACCAGUCUCCCCCAAUGCGACCGGUCUCUGGGGGACCGGUCUCUCCUCACAGGGACCGGUUCCCGAGAGCUGAUUUUCCAGGACUUAGCCGAUUUCUCAGCCAUCUCGCUGCCUACGCAUUCGGGGACCGGUCUCUCCCACCAGGGACAAGUCCCCGAGAGCACAAAACCUGCAGUUUGCAGAUUUUGAUUUCCAAAGCUCUCGAAGGUCCCCAGAAAUGCACUUUUGCAUUAUUUGCCGCCGUCGGCCUCUCCGGCGUGUACCAACCUCACACUUUGGUCAAUUUGACCAAGGUUCGAAUUUAAUUACCGAGAUUUCGCUAUGUUACAUUCUCCACCCCUUAAAUUUAGUUUCGUCCGCGAAACUUACUUAAUUGAGACUUAAACUCAUACCUCGACUCAGCUCGUUAAAGAGGUGAGGAUAAUGCUCCCGCAUUGAGCUCCCAAGUAGCUUCCCGAUCAUCGUGAUUGCACCAACGGAUCUUAACAUACGGAAUCUCACGAUUUUGUAGUUUUCUUACUUCUCGGUCGAUGAUGUAUGCCGGGAACUCCUCAUAGGUCAUGUCCUCCUGGAUCUCGGACGGUUCAAAUGACAGAACAUGCUCGGGGUUAUGAACGUACUUGCGGAGAUUCGAUACGUGAAAUACAUCAUGUACUCCCGCAAGCCUUGGUGGUAAUGCUAUUUUGUACGCCACCGCGCCGACCUGCUCCAAUACCUCAAACGGUCCGAGGUACCGGGGACUUAGCUUCCCCCGGUGUAACAUAUGGAAACUUGGAGUUGCGAUGUCAACUUUGACCUAGAGGGUCAAAGUGAGGAUUGAGCUAGUUGGACAUCAUCCCCGAGUGAUUUGUGAUGCGUGUGAAUGAAUUCUGGAGAUAAAUAAGUGUUUCGGCGCAAAUUGGGCGCGAAACGAAAUAUAAAGAGAAUUUCGGAUUUCCGACGCUAACUUUGAUUAAAAGAAUUAAAGUAAGGCGUGAGGAUAAAUUGUGGUAUCUCCGAAUCAAUUGUGAAGUUUUGGAAAAGCCAAGGGUGUGCUUUCAAAGGGUUUUGAAGUGUUCAGUGCGAAGUGGUAGUGCAAAAAGGAGAAAUUUCUGCCGUAUAAUGAAAUUGGAGCUGAUUCUAUUGCUAAUUCGGCUCCAAUAAUGUCAAAAUGCAAAGGAAUUGCUUCCAAAUUGGAUUGGUAGCUUGUGAAGGUCCCUUGGUAUCUUUUGGACAUGUUUGGGUGAAAUCGGAGUGAAAACGAAAACUUUAGAAUUUUCUGUAAAGAACGGGACUGAGAAAAUUAGCAGAAAAUUCACAGUGUCAGAAAAUUAUAAAAAUUGGCGGAGAUGUCAGGAACGUUGGUAUGAGGCCAGAUUUCAAGUUUCACAUUAUUCUGACACCCGUAGAGAGAGAAAUUAAAUCCGAAAGCUAUCGGAUAAAGAUUUCAGUUCGGUACAGUUCGCAGUGACCAAACGGGGUCGAAACUGAAAUGUUAAAAUUUCAGUGGACUUGUUAAGUAAAAACGAACAUUCCUGCCAAAUUUGAGCUCAAUCGGACUGUCGGGAGAGCCUGUGAAAGGUAUCUAAUCCGUGCGACUAAACGGAGUAUAAGUCGAGGGCAUAUUGGUCAUUAGCCAUGGCUUAGUGGAAUUCCACUAAACCAGCCUGCAGGGAGCCCUCAGCCAUCCUUAUCCCUCCUCCCCUCUGGUUCCAUACGUAGAGAGAGAGAGAAGGAGAAAACAAGGAGAAAGAGAAGAAGAAGAAGAAGAAGUAGAAGAAAAAAAAAGGGAAAGGUGCGAAUUCGCAUUUUUAAUCCUUUCCCCCUCAUCUUUUUUCCCUACUGCUGAAAACAGCAUCAGCAGCAGCUCUUGCUGCUGCUGCAAGCUAGAGCAGCAGCAGCAGCAGCAGCCCUUGCUGCUGCUGUGAGCAGAAACAGCAGCAGCAGCAGUAGCAUCAGGAGCAGUCAGCAGCAGCAGUAGCUGCUGUAAUAAUAGCAGCAGCAGCAGCAAGCUACUGCACAGCAGUACAAGCAGCAGCAGCAGCUUGGAGCAGCUGCUGUCAGCAGCAGCAGCUGCUGCCCUGCAGGGGCAGCAAGCUAGAAAAGAAAGGAAAGAAAAGAAAAGAAAGCAAGAAAGAAAGGAAGAAAAGAAAGAAAAGAAAGAAAAGAAAGGAAAGAAGAGAAAAGAAAGCAAGAAAGAAAGAAAAGAAAGAAAGAAGGAAAGAAAAAGAAGCGAAAGAAAGAUGCAAAAUAAGUUAGGAUUUCUAUAAAAACGGGGUUUAAAUGAAAACUGACCCCGGCAAUGCACUUUUGCAAAAUAAGAGUCCUAAUGCGAAAUUGACCGCGUGUAAACCAAAUUGAGGGUAAAAGAAACGCGUUGGCGAAGUCGGUUCGGCAAUCCGACGAACCUACGCAAAGAUAUCGCCAAAAGAAGGUUUUCGGCUAUAGUUGCCGCUUUAUAUAGCAUUGAAAUGCUAACUUGUAAAAUAUGAGUAAUGACUCUAGUCUAAUCUUUUCUAAUCCUUUAUAAGUGAAAAGUAAACAUGCCCAAGAGUCUAAAUUGACUUUCCGACAGGUCGACGACACGCUAAUUACGGUAGAGACCGCUCUAGUCCUAUUUGCACGGAGUCGCGAGAGAUAGUCGUCGACGCUUUCCGAGACGUGGAUUCUAGUUGAUUGACACCACUACAGGUGGGUGGUGCUAUCCGAAGUCUUUGAAUCACCUUUUAUGUCUAUGCUAUUCAUUGAGCAUAUUUACUUCUGUAUUCAUGCAUUAUAGGGUAUGGGCAUUGGCAUUAUGCAAGUGAUAUUGAACGUGUGAAUUCUUAUUGAUAGUAAGAACAUAUGAACAUUAGAAUGUGGACAUAGAACCCUAUGAAUGUAUGAAACUGUAAAGGACCAAGACAAUAGUAAACUUGGUGACAUCAUGACUAGAGAUUUGGUUAGCAUCGAGAAAUGCAAUUAUGAAACUAGUAUAAAGAACUAGUUAGAGUUAAAUUGUGACAUUGUUGUCAGUUGAAUCCUCUAAAGGGGGAUCAGAUCUUACUCACAUAGUCUGUUUUCUUAGCUUGGUGGUGGUCGCUCCCCCCAGGCAGUGAGCUCCGGAGUAGUCACUUGUUGGGCUAACGUACUUGCCCCAGGACUAACGUACUUGUCCGACAGACGGUCCCAUCGGGAGGCAGCUUAGGGCCCGUGAGGGAUUUCGUUGGUGAGUUAUUGUUAACCAAAGGGUUAACCAGUGAAUUGGGUAAAUUUAUGGGCUAACGUACUUGCCCCGGGACUAACGUACUUGUCUAGCUGUUAACCAGAGGGUUAACCAAAAGAUUGGGUAAAGUUAAUGAAAAGCAUGCAUGCAUAUUUACAGCUUUCAUAUCUGCUACUUCUUUCAGCUUUGUACAGGCAUUGUAGUAGUUACAUGUUAUAGUUGGUUACUAUCGGGUUACUUUUCUUGCCUACAUAUGCCUGAGUAGACCUAGUGGGUGAGUCGGCGAGGUCGGCAGCCGAACCCACUGGGAACUUUCUUGUAGUUCUCACACCACUAACCAUACAGGUUCCAGUGCGAGUGUUAUAGCUGAGGAUCGAGGCAAGGGCCCUGCAGUUUAGCUAGCUGACACAAGAGUUUAGUAGUUACCAUUUUGGCUUCAUGUUAUACAUUUUGAUGUACAGAGACAUGUAGAUGAAUGUAUAAAAAGCAUGUAAAUAACUUAAUAUUUCAGUUAUAAAGUUCAGUUGUGUAGAAUUUUAAAUUACAGUGAAUUUCAUUGUACAGUUAGUUUACUAUCACUUGUGGUUGUUGCUUGCCUUCGUGCAAGCCAUGUAUAUUGAAAUGUGAUCCUGGGAAUUGUUUAUUUCUUUAUACAUGUACUCGUUGUUGUUGAGCCUUGGGCGAACAGUGGAGGUGCUGUUCAUCGGCGUCUGUGUGCGGGCCCGGAUCGACCAAAUUGGCGAUCGCGGGACGUGACACCCGGAGCCCAAACCGUCUAAUUCCUCGCAUCGGCGAUAUCUUUAGAAAGACGUGGUCGCCAACUACAAACUCUAUGUCCUUUCUUCGCUUGUCGGCAUAACUCUUUUGCCGAGAUUACACCAUAGCGAGUCUUUGGCGGGCAAGGCGAACUUUCUCCUCCGCCUCUCGCACCACUUCCGGGCCAAGAGUAGCUCUCUCGCCCACAUCGCUCCAAUGGAUUGGAGAGCGACAUUUCUUUCUAUAAAGGACCUCGAAUGGCGCCAUCGCGAUACUCUCUUGGUAACUAUUAUUGUACGCGAAUUCCGCCAUCGAUAGAUGAUCGUGCCAACUACCAUUGUAGUCCAGUACACACGCUCGGAGCAUAUCCUCAAGUAUUUGUAUUGUCCUCUCCGAUUGACCGUCACUUUGAGGAUGAAAUGCCGUGCUAAAGUCGAGUCGUGUGCCUAAGGCCUCCUGUAGGGUCCUCCAAAAAUGAGACGUGAACCUCGGGUCCCAAUCUGAUACAGUAGACACGGGCACCCCAUGAAGUCUCACAACCUCGUCAAUAUAUACUUGGGCCAACUUGUCCUAUGACCAAGUAACAUGAAUCGGUAGGAAAUGUGCCGACUUCGUCAACCGGUCUACUAUUACCCAAAUUGCAUCGUGUCCACCUUGAGAUCGAGCAACCCGGUCACGAAGUCCAUUGCGAUAUUUUUCCAUUUCCAAACGGGUAUAGUUAAACUCUGCAACUUUUUCGCCGGAAACCGCCGCUCCGCUUUUACUUGUUGGCAAGUAAGACAUUGCGCAACAAACUCCCCAAUGUCUUUCUUCAUGUCCGGCUACCAACAAUACAAUUUCAAAUCUUGGUACAUUUUGGUGCCGCUCGGGUGUAUACUAUAAGGAGAUUGAUGCGCCUCUUGCAUAAUCCCCCUGCGGACGUCCUUGUUCUUAGGCACACACCAACGGUUUCUAAACCGGAGUGCGCCGUCGGUCCCAAUGCCAAAAUCACCGGCACUACCGCUCCCAACUUCGCCGCGCACCUUUUGGAGAUACUCAUCGGAAGCUUGCAGCUCUUUUAUCCUCUCCAACAAGGUCGGUUGCACUACUAACGCGGCAAGUGUAGCCGGCACUCCCGGCUCCACUACUUCCAAAGCAAGCCAUUGCAUCUCCUUUUGCAAUAAUGGUUGGGGUAUAAUUGCCAAAGCCAAAUUUUUUUUCGACUUUCUACUAAGUGCAUCGGCCACCACAUUUGCCUUCCCGGGGUGGUACAGAAUAGUGACGUCAUAAUCUUUCAGCAAUUCUAACCACCGCCGCCGCUGCCGCAUAUUUAACUCCUUUUGAGUGAACAAGUAUUUAAGGCUUUUGUGAUCCGCGUAGAUCUCACAAUGUUCCCCGUAUAAGUAAUGCCUCCAUAAUUUUAGUGCGAAUAUCACCGCCGCUAGCUCAAGAUCGUGGAUCGAGUAGUUCUUCUCAUACAUCUUUAAUUGGCGCGAAGCAUAUGCUAUAACUCGGCCGUUUUGCAUCAAGACACACCCGAGUGCAACAUAGGAAGCAUCACUAUAUACCGCGAAUGUCUCCCCCGGCGUCGGUAGAGCAAGCACCGGGGUUGUGGUCAAUCUUUCUUUUAACUCCUCAAAGCUCCGCUCGCAUUCGUGGCUCCAAACAUAUUUCACCCCUUUGUGUGUGAGGCGCGUUAGUGGAGUAGUUAUUUUAGCAAACCCCUCCACGAACCGCCGGUAAUAGCCCGCUAGCCCAAGGAAACUGCGAACCUCCGAUACGCUCGUCGAGCGCGGCCAAUCUCUAAUUGCCUCAACUCUCUUCGCGUCCACCGAGAUACCAUCGCCCGAAAUUACAUGACCAAGGAAAGUGACCUCCGAUAGCCAAAAGUUGCAUUUCUUCAACUUGGCAUAUAACUUCUCUUUUCGGAGUAUUUCCAACACGGUCCUCAAAUGCUCCUCGUGUUCUUCCUCGGUCCGAGAAUAUACCAAUACGUCGUCAAUGAAUACCACGACGCACCNNNNNNNNNNNNNNNNNNNNNNNNNNNNNNNNNNNNNNNNNNNNNNNNNNNNNNNNNNNNNNNNNNNNNNNNNNNNNNNNNNNNNNNNNNNNNNNNNNNNNNNNNNNNNNNNNNNNNNNNNNNNNNNNNNNNNNNNNNNNNNNNNNNNNNNNNNNNNNNNNNNNNNNNNNNNNNNNNNNNNNNNNNNNNNNNNNNNNNNNNNNNNNNNNNNNNNNNNNNNNNNNNNNNNNNNNNNNNNNNNNNNNNNNNNNNNNNNNNNNNNNNNNNNNNNNNNNNNNNNNNNNNNNNNNNNNNNNNNNNNNNNNNNNNNNNNNNNNNNNNNNNNNNNNNNNNNNNNNNNNNNNNNNNNNNNNNNNNNNNNNNNNNNNNNNNNNNNNNNNNNNNNNNNNNNNNNNNNNNNNNNNNNNNNNNNNNNNNNNNNNNNNNNNNNNNNNNNNNNNNNNNNNNNNNNNNNNNNNNNNNNNNNNNNNNNNNNNNNNNNNNNNNNNNNNNNNNNNNNNNNNNNNNNNNNNNNNNNNNNNNNNNNNNNNNNNNNNNNNNNNNNNNNNNNNNNNNNNNNNNNNNNNNNNNNNNNNNNNNNNNNNNNNNNNNNNNNNNNNNNNNNNNNNNNNNNNNNNNNNNNNNNNNNNNNNNNNNNNNNNNNNNNNNNNNNNNNNNNNNNNNNNNNNNNNNNNNNNNNNNNNNNNNNNNNNNNNNNNNNNNNNNNNNNNNNNNNNNNNNNNNNNNNNNNNNNNNNNNNNNNNNNNNNNNNNNNNNNNNNNNNNNNNNNNNNNNNNNNNNNNNNNNNNNNNNNNNNNNNNNNNNNNNNNNNNNNNNNNNNNNNNNNNNNNNNNNNNNNNNNNNNNNNNNNNNNNNNNNNNNNNNNNNNNNNNNNNNNNNNNNNNNNNNNNNNNNNNNNNNNNNNNNNNNNNNNNNNNNNNNNNNNNNNNNNNNNNNNNNNNNNNNNNNNNNNNNNNNNNNNNNNNNNNNNNNNNNNNNNNNNNNNNNNNNNNNNNNNNNNNNNNNNNNNNNNNNNNNNNNNNNNNNNNNNNNNNNNNNNNNNNNNNNNNNNNNNNNNNNNNNNNNNNNNNNNNNNNNNNNNNNNNNNNNNNNNNNNNNNNNNNNNNNNNNNNNNNNNNNNNNNNNNNNNNNNNNNNNNNNNNNNNNNNNNNNNNNNNNNNNNNNNNNNNNNNNNNNNNNNNNNNNNNNNNNNNNNNNNNNNNNNNNNNNNNNNNNNNNNNNNNNNNNNNNNNNNNNNNNNNNNNNNNNNNNNNNNNNNNNNNNNNNNNNNNNNNNNNNNNNNNNNNNNNNNNNNNNNNNNNNNNNNNNNNNNNNNNNNNNNNNNNNNNNNNNNNNNNNNNNNNNNNNNNNNNNNNNNNNNNNNNNNNNNNNNNNNNNNNNNNNNNNNNNNNNNNNNNNNNNNNNNNNNNNNNNNNNNNNNNNNNNNNNNNNNNNNNNNNNNNNNNNNNNNNNNNNNNNNNNNNNNNNNNNNNNNNNNNNNNNNNNNNNNNNNNNNNNNNNNNNNNNNNNNNNNNNNNNNNNNNNNNNNNNNNNNNNNNNNNNNNNNNNNNNNNNNNNNNNNNNNNNNNNNNNNNNNNNNNNNNNNNNNNNNNNNNNNNNNNNNNNNNNNNNNNNNNNNNNNNNNNNNNNNNNNNNNNNNNNNNNNNNNNNNNNNNNNNNNNNNNNNNNNNNNNNNNNNNNNNNNNNNNNNNNNNNNNNNNNNNNNNNNNNNNNNNNNNNNNNNNNNNNNNNNNNNNNNNNNNNNNNNNNNNNNNNNNNNNNNNNNNNNNNNNNNNNNNNNNNNNNNNNNNNNNNNNNNNNNNNNNNNNNNNNNNNNNNNNNNNNNNNNNNNNNNNNNNNNNNNNNNNNNNNNNNNNNNNNNNNNNNNNNNNNNNNNNNNNNNNNNNNNNNNNNNNNNNNAAGGACGGUCCUAGCUGGUGAGUUCCUGCGAUGAUGGACUUAAUGUGAAGCAAGUUAAAGUGGCGAAACCUCCGGGCUAGCCUUAAUGAUUAAAGAACAAAGAGUAAAGAACAAAGUGUAAAGUGCAAAGAACUGAAGAACAUGCAUAACCUGCAUUUAUUUAAUGUUGAGCAUAUUUCUUGCUAUUUGUUCAGGCAUAUUAGCAUCAUGUUAUAGAUUGGUUACUAUAUCUUACUUAUCCUUUCUAUUAUGCCUGAGUUAGUCAUAGUGGGAAAGUCAGUGAUGUUGGGGCCGAAACCACUGGGAACUUUGUUGUAGUUCUCACCCCACUAUUUCUACAGAGCCGGGACCGAGCGAGCCGGCGAGCGACCGAGGUAAAGGUAUCGUGCCCUAGUCAGAGGCCACCAAUGUUGGGUACAUUUUGUAGUAACGUACCCUAUGUUCAUCUUUUGUACUCGAUGAUGAAUGACGUAAAGAAAAGAAUGUAAUGUGUAUUUUGAGAUAAUUGUGAUGUAAGAAAGAAACGAUGAAACGAAAUGUAAGAAGUUCGAGGAAUUUCAAGUUGGAUGUAUGUAUAUGAUCUAAAUUGAAUCAUAGUACAAGUGAAUGUUUAGUUUUUCUCUUUCUUUCACUAAUGGCUAUUGCUUACCCUCGUGUAAGCCGUUUGUGUAUGUUUCCGCUAGUGCNAAUACCACGACGCACCAGUCCAAUAGCGAACGGAAGACUCUAUUCAUUAAAUCCAUGAACGCCGCCGGGGCGUUAGUAAGCCCAAACGGCAUCACCGUAAACUCAUAGUGGCCAUACCGCGUACGAACGCCAUCUUGUGCACAUCCUCAGGUCGUAUCUUCAACUGAUGAUACCCCGAUUAGAGAUCAAUCUUGGAAUAUACCCUUGACCCUUGCAACUGAUCGAAUAAGUCAUCAAUCCUCGUGUAAUAUACCGAAAAUUCGGAAAAUAAAAAUGUCGAACUUUAGUCAAAUUGACCAAAGUGCGAGGAUGAAACACUUCGGAAAGUCCGAAGGUGUUAAAAUGAUUAAAAGUGAGUUGUGGAAGGUUUUCGAGAGCUAAAGAAUUGAAUUCUGCAAAACUGCAGAUUUUCAGCUCUCGGGGACCGGUCCCUGAAGGGAGAGACCGGUCCCCGAACGCGUGCAGAAUGAGACAGCCGAAAAAUCGGCUAAGUCCUCGAAGGAUAGCUCUCGGGAACCGGUCUCUGCCUGAGAGAUCGGUCCCCCAGAGACCGGUCCCAUCGGAGGGAGACCGGUCGCAUCGCGCGCCGCGACUCUGGCUGCGCAGGGUGGACGUUCGGGAACCGGUCCCUGCUCGGGGAGACCGGUCUCUGCCUGCGNNNNNNNNNNNNNNNNNNNNNNNNNNNNNNNNNNNNNNNNNNNNNNNNNNNNNNNNNNNAAAGCCGACAGAGUAAGACGUGCGCAAGCCCCUGGCCAGAGAGGGAAGUCCCUGGCCAGGGGCUCUCGACUUUUAGACGUAAUGAGACAGCCGAAAAAUCGGCUAAGUCCUCGAAGGAUAGCUCUCGGGAACCGGUCUCUGCCUGAGAGAUCGGUCCCCCAGAGACCGGUCCCAUCGGAGGGAGACCGGUCGCAUCGCGCGCAGCGACUCUGGCUGCGCAGGGUGGACGUUCGGGAACCGGUCCCUGCUCGGGGAGACCGGUCUCUGCCUGCGAAAACUGCCCAGUUCGGGCAGUGUACUAAAUUGAAAGUUGAGGGGUUUUAUUGCAUUUUUGCAACCCAUAGAGCUAUGUUAGUGGGCUGAGGGACUACCCCUCUCAUUCCACUCCCUCUCACACCCUCUCCUCUCUUUCUCUCUCUAGAAGACAAAGAAGGAGAAGAAGAAGAAGGAAGAAAGGAAGGAAGAGAAGGAGAAGAAGGUGAAGAAGAAGCUUUUGGAGCAAAGAGGCUCCAUCUCCUUCCUCUCUAGUGCAAGAAAGGGAAGCUUACAAGGUAAGCUCUUAACCCUAAUGUAGUAAAACCCUAGAAAUGGGUUUGAAUAAACCUAGAAAUGGUUUUUAAUGGAAUAUCUAGUAGUUUGAAGCUCUCUUUUUGCUUCUUUAGAGAUCAAAACCUUGGUUUGUUUUAGAGGUGAGCUUGGACCACCUCUAGUGGUGAAAUCCAAACUAGGGUUUUGGAAAGCCUAAGAAUGGUUCUAAUGGGUUAUUUAGAGUAUAAUGAAGCUACUUUUGCUUCCCAAUGAGAUCAAACCCUAGGUUUGACAUGAGUAUUGGAGCUAGGGCACCAAAUUGGGGCUUUUGCUCAUGAGGGUUUCUAAGUGNNNNNNNNNNNNNNNNNNNNNNNNNNNNNNNNNNNNNNNNNNNNNNNNNNNNNNNNNNNNNNNNNNNNNNNNNNNNNNNNNNNNNNNNNNNNNNNNNNNNNNNNNNNNNNNNNNNNNNNNNNNNNNNNNNNNNNNNNNNNNNNNNNNNNNNNNNNNNNNNNNNNNNNNNNNNNNNNNNNNNNNNNNNNNNNNNNNNNNNNNNNNNNNNNNNNNNNNNNNNNNNNNNNNNNNNNNNNNNNNNNNNNNNNNNNNNNNNNNNNNNNNNNNNNNNNNNNNNNNNNNNNNNNNNNNNNNNNNNNNNNNNNNNNNNNNNNNNNNNNNNNNNNNNNNNNNNNNNNNNNNNNNNNNNNNNNNNNNNNNNNNNNNNNNNNNNNNNNNNNNNNNNNNNNNNNNNNNNNNNNNNNNNNNNNNNNNNNNNNNNNNNNNNNNNNNNNNNNNNNNNNNNNNNNNNNNNNNNNNNNNNNNNNNNNNNNNNNNNNNNNNNNNNNNNNNNNNNNNNNNNNNNNNNNNNNNNNNNNNNNNNNNNNNNNNNNNNNNNNNNNNNNNNNNNNNNNNNNNNNNNNNNNNNNNNNNNNNNNNNNNNNNNNNNNNNNNNNNNNNNNNNNNNNNNNNNNNNNNNNNNNNNNNNNNNNNNNNNNNNNNNNNNNNNNNNNNNNNNNNNNNNNNNNNNNNNNNNNNNNNNNNNNNNNNNNNNNNNNNNNNNNNNNNNNNNNNNNNNNNNNNNNNNNNNNNNNNNNNNNNNNNNNNNNNNNNNNNNNNNNNNNNNNNNNNNNNNNNNNNNNNNNNNNNNNNNNNNNNNNNNNNNNNNNNNNNNNNNNNNNNNNNNNNNNNNNNNNNNNNNNNNNNNNNNNNNNNNNNNNNNNNNNNNNAUAUUUCAGCUUAUCCUUUCUAUUAUGCCUGAGUUAGUCCUAGUGGGAAAGUCGGUGAUGUUGAGGCCGAACCCACUGGGAACUUUGUUGUAGUUCUCACCCCACUAUUUCCACAGAGCCGGGACCGAGCGAGCCGGCGAGCGACCGAGGUAAAGGUAUCGUGCCCUAGUCAGAGGCCACCAAUGUUGGGUACAUUUUGUAGUAACGUACCCUAUGUUCAUCUUUUGUACUCGAUGAUGAAUGACGUAAAGAAAAGAAUGUAAUGUGUAUUUUGAGAUAAUUGUGAUGUAAGAAAGAAACGAUGAAACGAAAUGUAAGAAGUUCGAGGAAUUUCAAGUUGGAUGUAUGUAUAUGAUCUAAAUUGAAUCAUAGUACAAGUGAAUGUUUAGUUUUUCUCUUUCUUUCACUAAUGGCUAUUGCUUACCCUCGUGUAAGCCGUUUGUGUAUGUUUCCGCUAGUGCUUUUCUCUAUUGAUGAAAAUGUGCAUGUGAUGAGCCUUGGGCGGAUAGGGGAAACUCUGUCCGUUCGGCGUCUGUUUGACGUGCUCGGGUCGGGCCAAAUUGGCAACGGUCCCGGGGCGUGACACCUCGGCAACGGGUACUUAUUCUUCACCGUAACCUUGUUCAACUUGCGGUAAUCCACGCAGAGUCGAAGUGUGCCGUCCUUCUUCUUAACGAAUAGCACCGGAGCUCCCCAGGGUCCACGUAGAGUCGAAAUGUGCCGUCCUUCUUCUUAACGAAUAGCACCGGAGCUCCCCAGGGUGACGCGCUCGGCCUCACAGAGCCUUUGUCAAGCAAGUCUUGCAACUGCACCUUGAGCUUCUUUAGCUCCGCCGGUGCCAUUCUAUAGGGAGCCUUCGAAAUCGGAGCCGCCCGGGUACCAAGUCAAUAACGAACUCAAUCUCCCGGUCCGGUGGCAAACCCGGUAACUCCGCCGGAAAUACAUCCGGAAAUUCACACGCCACCCGAAUACCACUAAGUUCCGGGCGUUCCUUCGGGGCUUCUACCACGGUCGCCAAAUAGGCUUCACAACCACCCUUAAUCAUUUUCCUCGCCCGUGCCGCCGACACGGUCAUCGCGAAGAGCGAGCUUUUUAACGUCUGAUACACUAGCUCCUCUCAAUUAGGCUCAUGGAACGUGAUCACCUUACUUUCGCAAUCUAUCACGGCAUAAUACUUGGAGAGCCAGUUGGUCCCUAAGAUCACGUCGAAAUCCCACAUUUGAUUCAACACUAACUGGUCGAUCGGCAUAGCACAAUCACCUAUCUGCACUGGGCACGCUACACACUCUUCGUGAACAUGGAAGGUAUGCUCGACCGAAUUCACCGUCCAAUAGUCAUAAUGAUGCACAAUAGUCAUAAUGAUGCACAAUCUUAAUGCCAUGAGUCCUAGCGAAUGAUGCAUCUAUGAAUGAAUGCGAUGCACCAGUGUCGAAUAAAGCUCUAGCUCUAGUACUUCUGAUCAAGAUAAUACCUGCCACGAUGUCGUCGGGAACAGGAAUCGGCUCCUCCUCCAACUGAGUGGCAAAAAUCGGUCCACUCGGUGCUCUCAAGGCCUCCGGCUGACGCGAUGAAGACAAGCAUCCAGCUGACAUAGCCGGCGGUAACCCCGCCUGCUGUCUUGGGGUAUAAAGAACUAAAGCCGAGGUCGGUGCAGAUGAACCCUAGCUAGGGCACUCUCGUGACACAUGUCCAGGUUGGACACACUUGAAGCAUUUCCCAUCCCGCUGCGGGCAUGAAGGUGGUUGAUGGUUACCGCCACAAAUAACACAACAAGAUGGCCUCCAACCCCUCGACUGCUGUCGGGGAUACUGAGGGGGUUUCUUAGCGUUUGGCCGGCCCCCGGUGCCACCCGCUGUCCGUUUUUUGCUCUUUUCUCCUUUGCCUCAGCUACGGACUCGCGCUCCUCGCGUUCGUGAGCAUAGCCAUGCUCCGCCCACAAUGCCCGAUCAAAGACCUCCGCAAAGGUCGUGAGCUUAAGAAUUUGCACGGCCCUAUGAAUUCCCGGCCGCAAUCCUCGUAGGAACUAGUCUGCUAGGUCCCUGUCAUCCCUAACAACAUCCGGGACGCAGUCAAUGAGGUGGGAGAACUCCUGCUCGUCGUCAGCCACCGAGCGAUCUCCUUGCCUCAACUUGGGGAACUUCUCUUGCAACUUCCGCUUCACCGUAUCAGGAAAAUAGUUGGCGAACACCGCCAUCCGGAACUCCUCCCACAACAUAGGCGGAAGAUCGGGUGAUCGGUCCCGCCUAACCCGCUUCCACCACACCUUCGCCGCCUUCUCGAGGCAAUGUGUGGCGAGGUACACCUUGUCCUUCUCCAAGGUGUUAAGGUCAUCGAAAAGUGUCUCCAUGGAGUCGAUCCAGGACUCCACCACCGCCGGUUCCACCACUCCCCCCUCGAAGGUAGGUGGGUUGAUUUUCUGAAACUGAUUGAGAGCCGCCAAUGCGCGCUCCCGCUUCGCCUCCUCCGCCGCACUAUCGGGGUUUGAGAUCCCCGAUCCAGCCGGCACCAUCGUAACUGGCACGGCCGCCGCGGCCACACCCUCGGUCGCACUCAGCACCACCGCAAGAGGCGCAGGGUGCACGGCCUCCACGAGCGUCGCCGCCGUCGCCGCCUGCUGUCGCUCCAGGGCCUCCUAGAGCCUUUGGAUUUGCUCACCUUGGCGCCGAACGGAUUCCGCCUGGUGCCGCACUACGCAAAUAAGCGCGGCCAUCUGCUCCCGAAGCUCCCCGUCGCCACCUGCUCCGGGUUGCACGGGAGCCGUACUUGACUACUCGGCCAUAGACCUCGUCUGCGGUCGACCACGAGGCAACUUAGGUCGUCCACGAGGCGGCAUUGCUUCCGAAAUGGAGCAACUCACGUUAGUUACCUAGACAACAUACUCGAUUAUACCCAAUCUGGUGAAAGCAUAUAAGUGUAUUCAUUUUCAUUCCGAAGCGUCAUGUCGUUGACCGUCGAUCAAAACACAAAGAAUACAAAACAAAUAACAACUUAAGUUAGUCCCUAACCACAUUAGAGACAUAAUUACACCAACCCAAUCCAUGCCUUCGCUAUAACUUGUUCAACAUCACUCACGUUUCCUAGGUCCUUAAGGUUUUCCAUUCCUAAGGGUCCCUAGGUCCAUCCUAUGCUUUCACGUUUUGGCUCUUUACGCUCUGAUACCAUCUUAUCUGUUACGCCCCGAGCCCGAUCCUUUUGGCCAGUUCGAGAGCGUCGAACAGACGCCGAACGGACAGAGCCUCCCCUGUCCGCCCAAGGCUCAACACAAGAAUCAAUAGAGUAUAAAUUUUGCAUAAGCGGAAGCAUACACAAUGGCUUGCACGAGGGCAAGCAAUAGCCAAUAGUGAAAGUAAAUAAUUACACUUAGGAAAUCGAGUACAAUUAUUGCAUUAUUUCUUUUUACGUCUCAUUUCUCCAAAAAUAUAACUUUUGUCCUUUACAUUAUUCAUUUAAACAUGUUCUUGAUACCAAAAUCAUCAAAUACAAAAGGUGAUAUAUCAAAGGGUAUGCAACUAUGAAAUAGAACAUCUCGGGCGGUCUCUACCGNCAUGAUUAUUGGGUAUUCGUUUAUUUAUUUACUUACAGUGCAUUUAUCGCUUUUGUUAUAAUGUACACUGACCCUUUUUCUAUAGUUUCGGGCCUAGUGGUGCAUUUCACUGAAGUCAGUAAUUGCCCACUGGGAACUAUUAUUUAAUAGUUCUCACGCCCCUAUUUCUAUGUUUCCUUUUCAGAGCCUUCAGCACCGGCGGAGGCACGGGAUCGCGGCAAGGGUGUCGCGUAGCUAGCUCGCAGAGAGUUCUUUUGCGCUAGGUGGUUCUCCUCCAUUUUAUAUUUUGAGAGAGGAAGAGGUUUUGUACCAUGUAUAGAGAGACCACCUUGUACUCCUUUUAGCACUUGUUAUGGGAUCCCUAUUAUACUUAUUUUAAGUUUCUAUUUAGUGGACUUUCUGCUUUAUGUCCUUUCCUUGUUAUAGAACUAGUUAUACAAUGCUCUGAUAUCACUAGAUCCCUUGAAUUAUUGUUUUAUCUAUCGAAAUUUUUGUAGACGCAUUAUAUGUUUUAGAUGUAUGGCGGGUCUGGACACGCGCCGGGUAGGCUUCCGCUGAGCCCCGGGGCGUGACAAUAAUGCUCAUGAUGAAUGAAAUUUACAAUUUCUUUACCCAAUCUCUUGGCUAACCCGUAGGUUUCGCCCUCAACAAACUCACCAACCCAAAAUCCUCUUUAACCAGGGAGAUACCCGCUACAACCCGAUAGGACCGUCCUCUGGGGAGAUACCCACUACGACCCAGUGAUGUCAACUCCAGAGCACAUCGCCCAAGGGGGAGCUACCACCCUCGAGCAAAGACUAAAGGUGAGUACGAUCAAUCCUAUAUUGAGGAUUCCAAGUUCAAUCCAUUCCUUAACUUUAAGGAUGACCAUGCUCAAAUGACCUUGAACUCUAAGGUUGAAAUGUCAUAAUGUCUCAAUCAUUCUUUCCUUUGCAUUCUUUACUAUCACUAGUGUCAUAUACACUACCAAGUUUUGGACUCAUGCCACACUUGUUUUCUAAGUGCUAUGUUCUUGUUCUCAUACCAAAUGUCACACUCGUUUUUCUAAGUGUUCUAGAGUCAAACAUGUCACUCACUAGAUCUAUGUCCAUGUGUCACUUUGUUCACUAACCCUUGUAGGUUCUUGUCACUUGUCAAGCAUAAAUAGGGUUUUCAUCCUUACAUUCUUACAAAUAUUUCAUACGAAAUUAAAUUCACAAUCAUGAAGUAAAGCUCACAAUUAACCCUACUAUGCAAUAUGCUCAAUAUAUACAUAUAUGUUCAAACAUGACACUUUAGAUAUAAAGGGAUUUUCGAGGUCCUUGAAAUGCACCACCCACCUCAAGUGGUCGUGUAGGUGAAGACUACGACGACUCCCGAGCUUUACGAAAGUCGCUUCCACGUCCUAUAACCAAAUAGUGUCAUAUUAGGCCUUUUGUACAUGAACCAUACUUAAACAUUUUCAUAACGUCGAACAAAAUUGCCCAACGCGUCGAGGAUACCCCCAAUUAGGUUUCUACAGGGUCAAUUUGCCCUAGAAACACUCGGAGGCUAAAGCCCCAAAUUUGGUGCCCUAACCAAACCAUUGCUAAAUCCUAGGUCUUGAUCCCUAAAACAAGCAAAAGAGUGCUUGUUUAACCUCUAGGAGCUCACCUAAGGCCAACUAGGCCAUUUCUAGGGAAUCCAAGAUGAACCCUAGAAGUUCACCAUGAGAGGAGUCCAAGACAACCAUGGAUUUCAUGAUUUCAAGGUCUCUAGAGGGUUUCCUCACUUGUAGAGAGAUCAAAACCCAAAAAUCUAAGGUUUAAACCCAAACUCUAGACUUACUUUUGCAUAAGGACUCACCUUUGCCAAAGCUCCACCAAAGCCUUCUAGUUGGAGAGCUUCUAGGACCACCAAAACCACCAAAAUCCACUUCUCCAAGCUCUUCUCCACCUUCUCCAAACUCUAGGGCUUGCUUUCUAGAGAGAGAAAGGAGAGAAAAUGAGAGGGAGAGAAGUGUGUGUGUUUGCUGUGAAGAGGGGAGAGGGGAUGGGCCAUAUAACAUGUUGCAACAUUUGCAACUAAGUCCCCAAACUCUUUCUCUGUGCACUGUCGAGACUGGACAUUUUUCGCAGUAAGGGACCGGUCUCCCCGACCUGGGACCAGUCCCCGAGAGCUCCUCCCGCGGACUGCGUAGGCUAUGCGCGAUGCAACCGGUCUCCCUCAAUGGGACCGUUCUCUGGGGGACCGAUCUCUCCUCACAGGGACCAGUUCUCGAGAGCUGAUUUUCCAGGACUUAGCCGAUUUCUCAGUCAUCUCGCUGCCUACGCGUUCGGGGACCGGUCUCUCCCACCAGGGACCGGUCCCCGAGAGCACAAAACCUGCAGUUUGCAGAUUUUAAUUUCCAAAGCUCUCGAAGGUCCCCAGAAAUACACUUUUGCAUUAUUUGGCGCCGUCGGCCGCUCCGAAGUGUACCAACCUCGUACUUUGGUCAAUUUGACCAAGGUUCGAAUUUAAUUACCGAGAUUUCGGUAUGUUACAGGUAGUCCCAGGGAUAUAGUCUAUCACAAACUCAACUUCUCUAUUAGGUGGCAUGCUCGGCAACUCAGCUGGGAACACAUCCUCGAAUUCCCGCACAACCGGGAUAUCAUCAAUCUUGGCAGCUCCUCCAUCACUCCCGGAAAUACUAGCCAAAUAGGCUACACAACUUCUCCGUAUCAACUGUCGCGCUCGCGAAGAGCUAAUUGUCAUUGCGAAUAAUGAACUCUGGCACCUCUUAUAAACAAACUCCUGCUGACCCGGUUCCUUAAAGGUCACCGUUCUGUUCGUGCAAUCAAUGGUAGCAUAAUACUGUGUCAACCAAUCUAUACCCAAUACUACAUCAAACUCCCCUAGUUUGUGUAGUGCUAAUAAAUCAACUGGCAUAAUCCAGUCACCUAUCCGAACGGGGCAGUAAGGGCAAAACUCACGAACAUCUAAGGUAUGGUUGGGCACGAUCACUCGUCCCGGAUGCAAAGUACGUACUAAUUUAAUGCUAUGCAACUCGACAAACUACCGAUCAAUAAAAGAAUGCGAAGGAGCAGUAUCAAAUAAUGCACGAACACGAAUAUCAUAAAUCAUAAUAAUACCUGCGACUACCUCCUCUGCUGCUGCAGCCUCAGUCUGGGCGGCAUACAUACGCCCACUCGAACCCUGCUGAGAACUCUUAGAUUGUCGUUGUCCCGGUGGUCGUCCAAACUGAUACGGUGCUGUCAGGGUCCCCUGACUCGGAGCUGAAGAUGCAGGUGCAGAUGCUGAUGAUGGGGCAGGCGAAGAACCUCUUGGGCACUCUGAGUGAAAGUGGCCUUCCUGGCCGCAGAUAAAACACUUGCCCCCAUGUUGUGGACACUGUGGCGGAAAGUGAGGCCCACCACAAAUGACACAACGUGGCUGUCGACGACGCUCGGGCGCUCCACGGGGUGCUAAAGAACCUCGCCCCCUCGGCUGACUCGGCUGGCCUCUCGGGUACUUUAGCGGCCUCCUGAAAGGUUGCUGACCACUACUCUCAGUCCCUGGCCUCUUUCCUUUACUUUGAUCCACUGUUUCCCUUUCUUUCACAAUCUUUGCUCCUUUCUCCACAAUCAAUGCUCUAUUCACCACCUCCCUGUAAGUAGAAAGGUUUGACGCCUGGACCAAUCUGAAGAUCGCGGGUCGCAAACCUACCUAAAAAAUACGGGCCUUGUCUUCAUCGUCUCGAACCACAAAAGGAACACAAUGUAACAGUCGAGAAAACUCUCGCUCAUACUCCACUACUGUCCUAUCCCAUUACCUCAGAUUUCUUAGGUCCCUUUUCAUCUGUCUCUUUACACUUUGCGGAAAAUAGGUUGUCAACAAUAAUUCCUUGAACCUCUUCCAAGUGAUCGCUGACAAAUCUACACAGGGGUCCUCACGAAUAUCUAGCCACCACCUGUAAGCCUCGCCGUCAAGAUGGUGUGUCGCGAACCAUACCCGGUAUCGCUCCUCAACAAAAGUAUCAUAAAAUAGCUUCUCCAUAUGCAUCAGCCAUUUCUCGACAACCCAAUGAUAUGCUUUCUCCCCGUCAAAUAUACGAGGGUUGCAACGACGGAAUUCAUUCAGUCAUUCCAUCAUCCGCUCGCUCCUCAACCCCCACCAUCUCUGGCAACACUGUCCCUGUCGUAGCCGUAUGCACGGGUGGUGGUACUACUGUCUCCUGUCGGGUCUCUACCCUCGGAGCUACUGCUGGGGUAUCUUGUGCUGGUGACUGCGCUCUCACUAUCAUAUCCCUAUCUGGUACUGUAGGCAUAGGAUCAGGAAUCUCGCUGUCAGUCGUCUGCCGCAGUAAAAAAUCCUCUAACCGCUUCAUCCUUUUCUCCGGUCUGCGCGCAACAUCCAUCUGUUGUCGCGCUGUCGCAGCCUGCUGAGUCACCAAAUCUGUCAGCAUCGCAAGCUGAUCCUGCAACUCACGGACCUCACUAGACCCGGAGGUAACGGAGGUCUCCACUUUCUCCGCCUCAGCCGCCUCAGCUGCAUCGGCGUUCCUAGAACGAGUCGUAGGCAUCUUAAGCUACAACACAAAAACAAACAUGAAUUAAUAAAACUUAUACUAUUGAACCCCCACUUCUGAUAUAGACCACCCAAUCAAGCGAAAGUAAUGAAAUGUAACAUAUAUUAACUUCCGAUGUCACGUUGUCGGCCGACAAUGUGGCCCUCUGCAAAGUUAGUAAUUGCAAAUUCCGAUCAAACUCCUACCAUUCGGAGUUUAUAAGUUAUCCAAUCAAAGUACUUUCACUAGAAACUUGACUAGACCUCGUUUCUCAUGAGCCUAUUCUUAUAGUCCAACCAGCCUAAGAUUCGUUAGGUCUACUAAGACUCAACCCUAGGCUCUGAUACCACUAUAAUCUGUCACCCCCGGGUACCAGCGGAAGCAUAUCCGGUACGUUUACAGACCCGCCAUACACCUGCAGUAUAUAAGGCGUCUACAAGAAAACAUGUUGAUAGAAGGAAUACAUAGAAGAAUCCUAUCUUGAUAUCAGAGCAAAGUAUAAGUCAUUAAUACCAUCAUCAAAAGAACAAAGAGUAUACUACCCAAAAUCUCAACAUCAUAAAGAAGUAUCAAAACUAUAAUCCCCGAUUCAAACUACUCAUAUACAUCGGGUUACUCAAAAUACAUGUACAAUGGUAGUCUCUCUAUACGCGGGUACAUCAUCCUCGGCCGUGGCACGAGUAGCAAGGUGAUCACCUAGUAAAACAGCAAGCUAUGUCUAGCUAGACGCGACUCCCUUGCCGCGACCCCUAGCCUCUCCUGUAGGUGGCUCUGUAAAACAACAAUAAAACAGGGCGUGAGAACUAUUAAACAAUAGUUUCCAGUGGGUAAGCCACCAACCUUGGCAAAUUACACCACUAGGCUCAUGAUGUACUAGAUAAAAGUAAAAGCAAUAAUUGCAUGAUAUAUCUACAAUGCUAACAGGUGAUGAACAUGUAAUCAUACUUUCUACAGUAAAUAAAUCAACUGAAUAAGAAGAGCAUGGCAAUUACUGUAAGCAUGAACAUAAACAUGAAUAUAAGCAUGAACGUGUAAGUAAAUACUGUACACUAUAACUGGUAAUCAUUCCUUACUAUUAGCUGUCAUUUGGAACUUUAAUUUCAUUUAAAAAAAGACCUACACAAGGUAGUCCAGCUUGCGCCGCGCCUAAUGGCCCCGUGGUAGUAUGCACUCCCCACGGCAAUCCACUUCGGCACCCAAUCCCGCACGGGCGAGCAAUCUGUCUCGUAGGCCAACUCCGGAGUGCCGGCUUGUAGGGAGCGACCCUCACAAGCAUGUGCGAAUGAGCACAAUGGCAAGCAAGCAUAGUCCAUAGUCCAACAUGUCUCAAUCAUCACGUUUUAACUUGCAAUGUUCUCGCUCUCGAUCCUUUGAUCGGAAUUUCAAUAUAAGGAAUAAUGACAAUAGCUAGUAUCCAUUAGAUUAGUAAGCACAUGAAAGUAAUGUCAAUUUACAUAUGGCAUUAGAAACUUUCUACUAUUAAGGUACUAUCAAAAUAGUCACAUGGAAUGUCAUUAUUCUCUACUUUAUAGGAGCAUAAUAGAGAUGUCCAUUAGUUAUUCAACUGAACUAAACAUAAACAUAAGUACUUUUAUGCAUAAGUGUUCUCUACUUCAUAGAGAUUUCAUUUCAAAUAUAUCAAACAUUAUGGUGGUAUGUUCCAAGUCCUUUAUCAAUCACAUAAUCAUAAAAGUGCACCUAUGUACCAAUUCUAUAGUAUAAUAUAGAACAUAGGGGAGCUUCACUUGCACUGGUUAGGUCAAACCCACCUAUCACUAAGUCCAAUCCAGCCCAAAGGAGUCCCGAAAUUCAGCUCAACUAGGCCUCAACCCUGCUGAAAACCAAGCAUCAAAACCGUAUUGGAAACUAUUACCAAAAGUCCAAUUUCGGUAAAAUUCUCAAUUGUACUAAAUUGUAACUUGAAUCCCUGAUUUGGUUCACUUUAGUACCUCCAGUUUAACCUCUAAAGGCUCUCCAAUGCCAACCGAAGAUGAUUCCAAGGUCGGUUGCACUCUCGCUGCGAACAACACCAAAACGGCAUCAAAAUACUCGCAUACUAGUUAAUAUAGCCGGAAUCUUGCGAAAUCAGUUUUCUAACUGAAAUUUCUACUUACCCCUAGUUGAAACACCUUCCAAACAAGUUCCCAAGGUCACCAAUUUAGCUCAAAGUGAAUCGGAAACCUGCUGCGAAGAAACUAUUCCCCACUGCAUUAAUUCGCUCAAUUAAACCGCGUUUAGUUCCGAAAUAAAAUCAUAAAUCACUAAUUACCUUUAUUCAGCUUCAAAGCAACUUUUUCCUGGACUUAAGUGGAGAAAUCACAGCUAUAUAACCCCUCUCUAGCUGCUGGAAUCCUUCUCCAACUCUGCUGGAAGCAACGGAAUAAGAACACGUCAAAUUCCGACGAUAAACCGCAAACUAGAGAGAAAUUGAGCUAAUUACCUUUCUAAAGCUCUCUUUCAGCAACUCCCUGAAUUAGAUAUGAAGAACACAGCCAAAACACUUCACUUCACCCUUCUAAAGCUGGCCCCAAGUCCUCCCAAAACAGUAAAUAUCGAGCAGGGCGCAAAAUCGGCGCGGAACGGCGAUUUCUACUCAAAGAGAGAGAAAUCCUAGAGAGAGAAAGUGGGGAAGGUGCAAAACCCUUUUCUCUGAGCUCUAGCAUCAUCCACAAGCUCCGGGAGUCGUGCUGGGGCCAAAUAGAUAGGUAUAAAAAGUGAAAUUACCAAAUUAGCCUUGCUGCCACGUAUCUGUCACUGUGUACCGGUACAAGGUGAUGGCUGUACCGGUACACAAUGCAAAAUUUCACCAGAAAUGCACUUUCUUGCUUCCGGCCAAUUGAUCACUUCUCUAACUUAUCCAAAAACUUGUUUAAGCCUUUUAAAAGAUGUAGAAUAGUUUCACUUAUCAUUCCACACACUCGAACUUCGCAAUUUACUAAAGUUCAGUGUACUACAUCCAUAUUGAAUAAUUAAAAUUUAAAGAAUAAAAUUAAAAUAUAUUUCUUUCUAAAAAUACUUAAAUCAAAUAAAUAAAAUGAAUAAAUCAAUUUAAAAUAAAACAAUAGCUUAUUACAGUAUUAAGAAAGCUAAAUAAUAUUUUUCUAUUAUCAUCAAGAUAGAAUGUACAANUUAUACCUUCAUUACCUUUUAUCGUUACAUAUAUAACUAAUAAAGUAUUCGAUUCCUAAAUUUAAAUUAACAAAAAAAUUAGUAGAUAAUCAUCAUAAACAUAAAAAUUAAGACUAAUCAAAAGAUAUGCAAAAUCAAAAUAGAUGUUUUUUAUACUGAAAAAAAAAAUUAACUACCAAAUAUUAUAUUAUUAUAUACAUUAAUCCUAAAAAAAUUAUUUGUAAAUAACAUAUAAAUAAAUAAAUAAAUAAAUAUUAUGAGAAAAAAAAAAAAAAAAAAAGCCGGCCCCACAUGCCCCCCCAAACCCGGGGAGCCCUUGUGGGUUCCCAAUUCACCUUAAAUAAUUGUUUGUGAGCUAAAGCGAAAAAUAUACAAAGUUUAGAAAUUAAUGAUGCUAAUAGUUCUAAUAAAUAAAUAAAAUAUAAAUAAAUAAAUAAAUAAAUAUUGUGAGAGAGAGUGAAAGAGAGAAACCAAAAAGAAAAAAAAAAGGGCCUCACAGGGCCCCCCAAACCCGGGGAGCCCUUGUGGAUUUAAAAAAGAAGUGAGCCCUACAGGGCCCCCCAAACCCACACUAUAACAGAAUUAGAUUAUAGGGACACAUGUUUGGGACACUUUUGUGUAAGUGUCCAAUUUAUGCCAAAACUUAAAAAAUAAUCUACUAAUGCCUAUAUAUAAAGCCCAAUCCAACCAAAAAUAAAAGGUUAUUCUACUCAACCCACCUCACCCAGCCCAUUCGGCCCGAUUACAAACAGAAAAAAAGAAAAAGAAAAAUUGAUUACCAUCUCUUCUUCUCCCCUCACUCAAUCCAUUGAAACCCUAGACGAAGAGCCCUUCCCUCUGGUCCUCCUCCGCCACCGCAGCCAACGAGGUAGAGUUUCGAUGGUUGCUAAAUAUUUAAAUAAGUGUUGGUAAAUUAGUAGCACUUUUUUUAGGUUAUAGUGACACUCUUUAACUGUCACUAUAUAUCUAGCGACCCCACAUAUAGCAACAUUUUUUAAGAGUGUCGGCAAUUUAGCUAGCAACAUUUUUUUUGACCUGUGCUGACAUUUAAAAGUGUCGCUAUAGACCGUUUUUGUUGUAGUGCCAGAGAGCCUUGUGGGUUCCCAAUUCAUGUAUUUAUAUAGUUAGUAAUCCGUGCUACGCAACAAUUUUUUUUUCAUACUUUAUAAAUAAUUAAUAAAUAAUAAAAUAUUUUUAUUUAUAAAGUAAAUAACAAUAUAUUUGGCUCUAUUAAAUAAAAAAAUUUUACAGUUAUUUUCUAUCACAAAGUAAUACGUGUUUACUAUAUAUUUUUGAUAGGCCAAACUAAAAUUUCCUUGGUUACUGAAGAGAUGGCAUAGUUUUUCCGAAUCAGUUCCAAGUUUAUUGAAAACAAAGGCAAGUUCUUUUAGAAUUACAUAAAUACAGGUAUUCAAUUUAUCAAUUAGAACUACAUCGACCAUGACAAAAAUUAAAAGUUUAAAUUGAAUAAAACAAUACAAAUCAAUAUCAUGAUUUCCACUGCCCUUUUAAACGCAAAAUUUAAAUAGUUUGCCUACAAUGGUUAGUGCUCCUUAGGCAAUAUCUAUCAAACCACAAAUAAUUAACUCCUAGCAUCCGAACUAACCAUUGGUAUUAUUAUAUCAUCAUACCUAGCUUUUAGCGAAAAUGUAUAAAAAGUCUCCUAUAGCUAGAUGCAUCUUUAUUGCCUUUUAAUAGAUGCGUAUGAGAGGAUCAAACCUCCGACCUGUCGGCGACUAUGCUAGGCACUGGUGAUGAGACGAUUAGCUAUAGUUAGCAAAGCCCAACACAAAUAUAUUUGUACUCAACACGGUUUUUACCCCUUUUUUUCUAAGGGGAAGAACUGUUAUGUUCAGACCGAAUUAUCACAUUGAACCAGCUGAACUCGGUUAAUCUAUUCAAUUUUCUCAAUAGUUGGUUAAGUUUGAUUAUUCACUUAGUUUGAGAAUUCAAUUAGCCAAGAUAACCAAAGGAGCAAAUAGAUAGCUAUUGGAUACGUUAGCCGAUAAAUGAUGAUUGAACAAUUGGAGUGCUUAAUUACUAUAGCUGUUGAAUCAAAGCUUUAAUGCACAUGAUAAUUCCAUAUCUGCACUGAUCUCAUCUACCGCAAUUGGCUGAGAAUUUGAUACUGGUUAUCUGGACACUUGCAAAGACAGGAUCCCUGGAAAGAAAAGCAUCUACCUCAAACAUCUUCCUUCAUUUAUCAGAACAACAGAUCCUCAUGACGUCUCACUAAGCACGGAAAUUGAAUUAGCUAAGAUUUGUUCAAGAGCUUCCGGUUUAAUCUUCGACACAUUUGAUAACCUCGAGAAUGAAAUCAUAAAACCUCUUAUUGCAUAACAAGAUGAAGCCUAUGCACUUGAGCCUUUCGAAAGCUAUGAUUGCAUAGUGGCUAAAAAAUCAAAAGAAUGUUUCUGCUAUUUUUGUGAGCUUUGGGAGCACCAUAUCAAUAACAUCCCAGGAUUUAACUAAAUUAGCUUGGCCACUGGCAGAGAGCAACUUUGCCUUCAUGAGGAUCAUUAGGCCUAGUUUAGUAGAAGGUGGUGUCGAAUCAUUUCUGAGACAGAAAAAUAGACAUGAAACGGUAAAGCAGCAAAACCUGAAGAAAAAAAAAAUUCACACAAUUAGACUGAAGCGAAAAGUUUAAAAUAAAAGAGGAAAAACCAAGAAUAAGCGAAGAAUAACACAAUAAACAAAUGUUAUGAAUUGAAGUUGAUGUGCAUGAUGAGGACUUGAUGAACAGGUGUUAUGCACUAAACCAGUAGCUCUAUGAAAGCUUUGAAAGAGCACAUACAAAUAUAUGUAACUUUUGUGAUUAAAGUUAACCAACCAAGUGGUGGUUUCAAAAUGUGCAUUAAUACCUUGAAUUGAUUGUGAUAGGAAUAAAUUUUGGACUUAGUCACUAAAUACCAAAUAUCCAAAAUAGAAAAAAAAACAAAGAAGAAGCUAAUUUUAGUUGAGAUAAGAGGAAGCACUUUACUUGUUGGUAUCCAUAAUCAGAUGGGUAGAUCGUAUAUAUACCUGCAAAAGUAGACACAGUAAUAAGUGGACAAGCUAACAAUGGAGGCACUAUAAACGUAGUGGACUUUUGGGUCCACCAACUAUUUAAAGCCCAAUUAAUUGAAAAUAAUAUAGCAAUGGCUAAAUUAUAUUUUAAUCAUUGAAAAGAUGGGCAUUUUAAAAAAUUUAAAAUAUGAAUUAAGAGAGCACAACUGACCUGUUGCUCAUAUUUCAGCUAAGGACAAUAGCAUGCAUCAACUCCGAGCCUCGCGGGUGGCCUCUUAAAGCAAUGUCCAUCUGAACGAUACUUAAAUUGAUAAAUGCAAAUUACAACAUAAUGAAGAAAUAAACUAAACCUUUCAAGCGUCUUAAACUUUCAAUUCAUGUAUUUAUAUAGAAAAUCUCUAAAGGCAAUUAUUUUUAUCAAACAAACGAAAAGUAGACAGUAAAUAACUAUAUAGAGCAAAUGAAAGAGGCUCAGAUAUGCUUUUGCUUAAUCACAACAACAUUUAACCACAAAUCCUCUUCUCCCUCCUCCAAAACUUUUUUAAGAGUAAAUGGCUACAAUGAUUGCCUUAGGCCAUCCAAACUGUCUUGCCAUAAAACUCUUAUAUGGUGUGUAUGUAAGAAUUUCAAGAAAAUGAGAGGGAUUUGGAUUUAUGUAACCUUAAUAAAGAAGGUAGCCUCCAAAAUCAGCAUUGUUCAAAGAAGAACCAUUUAAUCAUCAUUGCCUCUAAUACCUUAACAAUCAAGACCAAAUACAUGGAACACCUAAUUGAUGCAGGAGCAUCAAUUGGCGUUGAUGCGUAAGUGUAGAAUUUGAUCGAAAAGGUGAUGAAUAGAUCUGAAUCACUCAGUCCAGAAAACCUAUAAUUUUGUUCAUCCUUAAAGUAUCAAAUAAUAAAGGUUGAUUAAUAUUGGAUAAAAAUUAAGAAAACACGUUCGAUUUUGUAAUUUUAUCAAAAAAUAAUAGAAUUUUCAUAUUGUGACUAUUCAUAGGAAAAAAGUUAAACUUAAAAUAAAAGUAAUGAAUCCAAAAUAUAAUUACUCAAUAAUCCACCAACUGUCUAUUUUACAUCAUACCCUAUUGCUAAGGUAAAAACAGAGAGAAAGUAAAUAGUAGGCAUGUAGGUAGGCCAAACUGUCGAUAAUCCAAUAUUCCAUGAUUUUUGCUUUCACAUGUGUUAAUCCAAUAUUCCAACUUAUAUAUCACAAUUAAAUAUUUUUUUACUGCAUAUCUAUUUAGCAAAUAAAUUCGUACAUUACAUUAGACAAACGAUGAUAUUUAAUAAAACAUUAAUUUAAUGCCUAUAUUUGUUAGUUUUGAAAAUUUAAUGCAAAUAAUUUGGUGCAUAAACCUUAAAGCAUGUUAGAUAAUUUAUCGAAAAGCACCAUAUUUGAAAUGUUGUUGCCUGAGAGGGUCAAAGGAGCAGGCGGAAAGUCUAGCCGAAAACGUCGCGGGCGAACACAUGGAACAAAAGAAAAAUAUCGUACCUGUAAAAUAUAGCAAAAAUAUUAAAGCACCAUUCUUCGACAAUUUAAACUUUCGGAAAUAAAUUUGACUAAUUCAGUGUAGAAUCCUGAGUCUAUUAAGGGCCCAUUUAGUAUAUAUUGAGGCUCAUCUAACUCUGCCUCAUUUUUUAAAAAAAACUUCGUAACCAAUAUCAACUAUUAAUAAACACUAAUCUAAUUAUCAAAAGUCCAUGAAUCAAAAAGAAACAAUCCAAAAACUGCAACUGUAACUCCAGAGACAACAAAUGUUCGCAUUGAAGCUUCCAAACCACCAGCAUGAUUUCCUUGAAGUAGAAAAGCCAUGAUGCUAAUUUCCAGAAACAAUAUUCCGGAUUUUGAAAACAAUGACAACAAAUUCCAAGAGAACUCCUUGCAGGUGUACAUUGCCACUCCUACCGUCACAUAUAAAAUAAAUAGAAGAGCUAUUGCAUUAAAAGCUAAUGCAUUAAAAGGGCUUGUAUAUUAGUAUUCAAAAAAUUAAGUUCAAGUUGCACAAAAGUGAAAAGAAGUAACAACAUAUCUGCGAAAAAGCUACCUAGAAUAUGAUCCAAUUCAACUAAUGAAAAUAUUUUCAUACAUGAGCAAUAGAGUUAGCGAUCAUAAUCAAUAAGGAAAUUCCAAUAGACAAUAUUCUAAUAAAAAACGAUCUUUGAAGGUGGAAAACCUAAUAAUUAAUUAAUUAACACGUAGCUCCCGAAACAGGCCUAUUCUUAAACAGAUUGAAUCGAGAAAACCCUGGAAUGUUCAACGUAGCAAGAAGAAGGGAAUUGUGUCAUACCUGGAGGACGUAUCAUAGGAGAUUGAGAACGCUAACAACCCAGAGUAGGACGUAGUAUGCGAUUAUGAUGUAGGAUCAGCCAUAGGUAAGCUUGGCGUUGCUGCGUGGCCCACGGCGUGCUUUAAAAAAGGAACAAUAUAAACCUAAGAUGAAAACAAAAAAACAAACAAAAAGGAAACAAUUGGGUUACUUGCGCCACCAAAACAUUACAACCGAAUAGCAAAAGAGGAACAUCAAAAGAGGGAGCUUUUUCCUUUUCUCACCUCGGAACCGCUCGGUCUCUUGAUUGUAAUCGAGAAGCUUUUGCUCGAUUCGCUUCCCGGAGGUGAAAUCGAAGCCCGCGGAGGUGAAAUUGAAGGCCGCGGAGGGCUCGCUACCAAAUCAGAGAUGGAAAAAAUCAGAAAGAGAGAAAUAGGGUUUUUUUUUUGCAAAUAAAAUUUUUACAGAGGCAUAUUAUAUAGGCAGCAAGAAGGGACCACGGAGGAUAAAUCCAAGCCAUUUUCGUGACCGAAGGGAAUGAAUAAGCCGAAACAAAGCGCCGCUAAUAGGAACGGUGCGACCGGAAAAAGGGACGACCAUGAACUUGGCCCAACAUACCAUCCAGAGAGGGAAUAGGAGUCGGAGCAGCAUCUAGAGGGCGAACGAAACGAAGCGUCGCCAAAGGGAACGGGUGCGACGACAAGAAGUCCGGCCAUGAAUUCAGCCCAACAGUCCGUCUAGAGAGGGAACAGGAGUCAGAGCGGCACCUAGAGGAGCGAGUGAAGGAGCCGGAGGUGGAAGACGAAAUUAAUUAGAAGUAGGAAAGAUUAAAUGAGAAAAUUUAGUUGGGUAGGCCCGACCCACUAAUUAAAUAACAGUGCCUUAAGAUGACAAGUAGGGCCCACAGAAGAUUAGAUUAAGCUAAUGUUGCCACGUGGACAAAAGGAAACGGGGAUUCAUAAGAGUUUAUAGAUGAUAACCGAUGUCAUCAUCACUGCAUGAAAGCUCACAAUGAGAGAAAUUAGAUGACUACACGUAUAUAGCUUUUAGUGUGGCAUAGCUACUAGAAAAUGAGUUUUUACAUUUUUUUUUUCUAAAACUCUGAAAGUAUUUCUCCUUUUCAUACUAUGCUACUAUUUUUUUUUCCUAUCUUUCUUUGUUAUCUUAAUAGUAUUAGUUUUUCAAUUUAGAUAUUAUCAAUAUACGAAAGAAAGAUAUGGACUCCACGAAUUCGGCUCUACUAACCAAAUGGUGGUGGCGUUUCUUUAGCGAGCCUAAUCUAUCUUGGUGCAGGCUAAUUAGAUCUAUCUAUUACACCCGAAGAAGACCUUUACAUGAGGGACCGGCCUUCGCCCCACAUUCGCAAUGGUGGAAAAGCAUACUCCGUUGCUGUGAGGUUUUCACCUGCGGUACAACAUAUGAGUUAGGUGACGGGCAGGACAUCAGAAUGUGGUCGGACAUCUGGAUUUGAGAACUUCCUCUUAGCACUCUCUUCCCGAAAAUUUAUGCGAACAUCACAAACAAGAACGCCAGAGUCUCUCAGUGCUGGAAUGCAAAUGGGUGGCGCUGGCGGUUCAUCUGUCGUGGUUUCGCUGCGUCCCGCUCCGCUGAGAGGCGAGGUCAACUAACAUUGCUCAAAGACCUGCUUCAAAAUCGUGCCCCUUGCAACAAACCGGACUCGUGCAAAUGAAGGUGGAUUUCGAACCAGCUCUUUACCGUUAAAUCCCUUUACCGAUUCGUCACAUACGCCAGAGUGAUUAAUCGGAGAAACACCAACAUCUGGAGCCUGAAAAUUCCUUCCAAAGUCAAAGUCUUUAUCUGGUUGCUGCUCCAAAAGAGACUGCCCACAGGCGAUAGAUUGAUAACUAGGGGCAUAGUUGCUGACCAACAGUGUGUUUUCUGCGCGAUGCUAGUGGAAAGCUGCGAUCAUCUUUUCUGCCACUGCGUCUUUGUUCGAUACCUACUCGUCAGUAGUGGAGAUGGGCACACACAUGACGAUACCUCCAGUGACGUCUGCAAGCUCUGGACAGCUACGUACCACUACCACUACAAUUUCUGCAGAUUCUACGCGAUCAAGAAGACUUAUCCAACUAGCAGCAAUCUGGUGGGUAGUUUGGAAAGACAGAAACAACUCUGUAUUCUGGGGAAUACCAGUCAACGCUAGCCGGGCACUUGAAUGGGUCAACCUUCUGACGAGCGACUGGAAUGUGCUGUGUUAACAAAUUGCUAGCUCUCUACCCAUCCUUCCCCCUUUCCCACACCACUCUUGCUUUUGUAAUCUUAUUACACUAUCUCUUUCCCUCUCUUUUAUUGUAGGCCUUAACUGCUUCCAUCAUGUACGCUUAGUUUAUUUCACUUAAUAAAUAAAACAGAUAACUUGCUAUUUUUUUCUUAAAAAAAAAAAUUAAACAAAGGUAACUAAGCAACACAUAACACAUCAAUACACUUGUAGAUCGAUCAAAGCCUCAUAGACAAAGGUGUUGAAUGAGGACCCAAGAAAAAAAACUUCUAGGCACAGUAGGGGACUAAAAUGUAGGAAAUGAGUGAAUGCAGCUGGGUACAGAGGCGGCCAGUCAGCUUCAGGAGAGGCAAGAGUCAAUAAAGUUUACGUGACAAUUUGGUACGCACCAAAAGUAAUCGAUUAAAAAUUUUCUCGCACGCCUCGCGGGCCCCACGGACAGCCGAAAAGCCCGAGGCGACGAUCGAGGCGGAUGGCUUCUCGUACCGAGGGGACUGCGAACGGAGGCGUGCGACGGCCAACUUUAGUGCGAUAGCGCGCCCAAGUUGCCGCUCUCUCCUUUAAAAAUUAUUACCUGCGCCUGUAGUAUCCGUAUAAUUUAUACACCGUGUGCACCUAAAAUUUUGAUCAUCCUAAUCUGAAGAUUAAACUUUACUGUGUUAAUAAAUGUGACAUACACAAUGUAAAAGUAUGAUUCGAAACAAAUGUUACAAAUCUAUUUAUUAUUAUGACAUCACACAAUCUCAAUAAUUACAGUGAGAAGGAGAUUGAGAAAGAGAACCUAUUUUUUAAAAAUGAAUGUCUAUAAUUUAUUGUUAUUUUUAAUAUAUAUAGGUCUUUUAAAUGUCCUAGAAUGUAUUAAAUUGGCCUCUCAAAGAUUUUAUCCAGUGUAGACAGUAGUAAUUUAUCUUUUCCCAACGGUGUUGCUUUUAUUUAUUUAUCCUCUUCAGAAAAUUAUUGCCUGCACUCAGCGUGUGUGUCUCAACCUAUUUUAUAAUAAUGUUCAAUGUGCAGAAAUCAAAACUUUAUCCAAUAUAAUAUAAAAAUAUCUAAAGUAUCUAUGAAUAAAAAGAAUUAAAAGAUUGAAAAUAUUUUACUAUUCAAUAAUUAAUUAAUAAUAGAGAAACAAAUAUUAUAUUGAUUCGUAAAUUUUUAAAAACUUUGAUAAUUUUUUAGAUGUUUUAUAUUAUUUUUGAUAUAGUUCAUUAAUUUUUUAAUUUAGUUUUGAUUUAUAUUAUUAUAUUGUUAUUUCAGAUUUGAAUUUUUACCCUUUAUAAAGGCUAUCCUUAUCUUACAGUUACUUAUUGUGAGGGGGCAAAUAUAUAGGUUAUUUUGUAUUUUAUCUUAUGUGAGAUUGACAAAAUGAGUAUUUACAAAAUAAUUUUUUAAGUUUUCAGAAACAUGUCUUAAAUUAACACUUCUUUUUUAUAUAUAAACCAUUUGAAUAUAUAUUAUAAAAUAUAUUAGAUAAAUUAGAUUUUAUAUUUGAAGUAUUUAUUGUAACGUUUUUAGAGUGUGAUGUAUUUGAGCUACUUUAGCACAUGGUGUAGGUAACAAUGUGACAAACUCUUCUUUUGUUAGGUCAGCCUGGGGAGUCACGAUGCAUGCCAUCUUAUCACACUGGUCGCUUUACCCUUGUCUGUUCCCCUCACGAUAUCCUACAGUCUCUGAGAUUCUGUUGCUUUUUUCACUCAUAUAAUCAAACAGCAGUAAAACCUAUUUAAAUCAAUAUAUAUAUAUAUAUAUAUAUAUAUAUAUAUAUAUAUAUAUAUAUAUAUAUAUAUAUAUAUAUAUUCUCUCUCUCUCUCUCUCUCUCUCUAAAUUAGACAGCCACUUCGUAAGUAAUUUCAUUGUCCUUUCACAAGAAGCUUCUUUCAGCGAGUAAAUUAGUCCUCUUUAACACUUUACCGAGACAAUUGCCCAACGAAGAUAUAUGGAAAGCACUCCUCUAUAUGACUCCCAAGCGGAGCCCACUUACCAUUGCUUGCUCAAGGUCGGUGCAUGUUCUUCGUUGGCCCUUCAUGUUUCCGGGGAAAAAAGGAAAAAAAAAAAAGAAAAAGAAAAAAGGAAAAACAAAGAGGCCAAAUUAAUGAUACCGGUUUUUAAUGCGAGCGAGGGAUAAUGAUAAUUCAGCACAGGCAGGUGUUGGGUUACAGAAUGGAAUUUCUCUCUCCCUCCCAAUCAGGUAUGUUUCGUUUAAUUCAUUUUUUAAGCUGUCGAUCAUAGAUGCUUUAGUUAGGACUUGAUAUCUACGCCUUAUCAUUAGUACUGUGAUCAUCAGCAGAAGCUUCAUUCUGAUUUGUGACUAAUGCCAUCAAUUAACUAGCUAGUUGUUCUUCUCUUUAAUUUUCUUCUUUCUUAAUUUUAAGGUACUCUCCUAUGUUUGGCUUGUCUGCUUCUAAAUCUAACUGCCAAAGUAAUAUUACCCUUUUCUAUAGACAGUGCAUGCAUUUCUCCAUGUGGUUUAUAUUGUAGAUGUUAAGCAAUAAAACAUGAUUGAGAUAUCUCCAUCUUCUCAACAACCAGACAGAAUUUAUUAAGACAGAUGACAUAGAGGUUUCGAAUGCUGUAAGGUGAACCAAUUGCACACAGGCAUUUGAUUUGAUACUUGUUUAAAAGAGGUAGUAGGAUGGUUAUACAUAUUAUGGCGGUAAUCAACAUAGCAACAAAAUGAAAAUAAAGAUAGAGAAGAAAUAUCUUUAUUAAGAUGGCGAAUAAUUAAUGAGUUCUUGGCACAGUUGCACUACGUAGAAGCUGUAGCCUUUUAUAGUGCUCAACUUGUACAUAUUGGAUAACUAAAAAAUACCAAACUCCAAACUUAUUAACAAUCUAGAAGUCAGUCCUUUAUAACUAUAAAACAAAAAACAAACCUAGCUAACGAUUCGAUCUUAUCACUAACAAUGAUUUGAUCUUAUCUUUAACAUGCCCCCGUAAGGUCAAAUUCAGUGAUGCCAAGUCCUUCACAACAUCAAACAAAUUUUUCUAACGACAAUGGCUUGGUGAAAAUACCUGCAAGCUGGUUUUAAGUAGAAAUGUGAACCAACUCAACAUUGUCGUCUGCCACUUUAUCUCGAAUGAAGUAGUGACGGAUCUCAAUGUGCUUGUGCGACUGUGGUGUACCGGAUUCUUUGGUAUAGCAAUCGUCCACCAGUCGCAAUAGAUAAUCGUCGGGUUCAUUUGCUUCUGAUGCAAUUCGUAUACAAUCCAACGUAACCAAACUACUUGGCACGCUGCAUCGGUGACUACAACACACCCAGCCUUGGAAGAUGAUACCGUCAUCAUGUAUGUUGUUUCUUUGAGAACCAACACACCGUACUCGAACUGAACUUGAACACGAGUCCGCUUAUGCUUCUCUGAUAGUCAAUAGAACCUACCCAAUAUAUCACUAUCAGAAAAAUCAAAUAAAGAAAAAAAAUGUUAGUGUAAGUGAACCAUAAUCGAUGGCCACUAGUCGUUUUCAAAUAUCUCAAUAUCUGCUUUGCAGCCCAUGUGAAUCUUGCUAGAAUAUUCCAUAAAUUGUGGAAGGAGGCUUUUUGUAAAUAUAAUGUCUGGCCUGGUGUGAAUCAUAUAUAAUAAGCUCCCAAGGAAACUCCCAUAUACAUUACUGUUGACUUUUUCUACACCGUCUUCAAUUGAAAACUUCAUAUUGGUUCACAUAGGAUUUGCCAUCGGAUUAGAAUCCUUCAGUCCAAAUUUGUCAAGCAAAUUAGUUAUGUAUUUCUUUUGCAACACAAAAAUUCCUUUUUUACUUAUACUACUUCGAGCCCCAAAAAAUAAUUCAUUAAACCCAAAUCAGUCAUUUCAAACUCGUGUCAUAUGACUUUUAAACUCAUCAAUUAGCUUUUAAGAGUUACCGACGUAUAUUAAAUCAUCUACACAAAGAACACAGUCAAAAUUUUUAUAUCUUUGGUCUUCAAGUAAAGCGUGGGCUCACUUUCACUUCGGUGAAAACCGCUUUGCAAAAUAUGAGCAUCGAUUUGGUUGUACCAAGCCCAUGGUGCUUACUUGAGGCCAUACAGUGCCUUCAAGUCUGUAUACAUUAUCGUUCUUUCCUUCAACCUUAUACCCCCGAGGCUACUUAACAUAAACUUUAUCAUGCAAAACAUUGUUUGAAAACAAGAUUUAAAAUCAAAAUGAAAAGCCUUCCAACUGAACUGUGCUGGUAGAACUAAAACAAUUCCAAUAGUAUCAAAACAUGCAACUAUAGCAAAAGUUUCAGAAAAAUCAACACCUUUGAGUUGCAGAUAGCCUUUUCCUACGAUCCAUGCCUUUAACUUCUUAACAGAUCCAUCAAGUUUGAAUUUGUUCUUGUAGAUCCACUUUAGAUUAAUUGCUUCAUUAUUUCGGGGUAGUUCUACAAGUUUCCAAGUCUGCUUAUGCUUUAGUGCAAACAUCUCAUCUAUUGCUUUACACCAAUCUGACGAUUUAGCCGCAUCUUCGAAUCCUUCAGGCUUAAGUGUCAAGCCAAAUUGACAUCUUUCCAUAUUUUCAUAUAUCUCUUAUAGCGACAUCACCUUAGAUAGUGCUGAAGAACUUAUCGAAGAAUAGGGUGUGCUUUGCUGUUAACCUGAGUUUCUUCUUCAAUCAAUCUUAUAGGGCAAUCAUGCAAAACUUCAUUCCUGUCCUAACCUUUUUAUUCAUCAAAAAUCACAUCUCAACUGAUAAUCAACGAAUUCGUAGCAGGAUUAAAUAAUCUAUAUGCUUUACUUGUCACUGUACCUCACAAAAGUACACGUUUGGGGAUUAUCAUCUAAUUUUUGUCGCUUCUUAGAUCGAACAAGAAUCAAAACCCGCAUACCCACAAAUUCUAAAAUAAUUUACCUUCGGCUUUCUUUCGGGUCCAAGCUUCAUAUGGAGUAGCUCUCCAAAAAUGAUUAGGACUCCAAUUUAAAAUGUGCGUUGUUGUGGAGAUUGCCUUUGCCCAAAACAUAUUUGGCAGUCCUUUAGCCUUCAACAUGCUCUUCAGCAUCUGGACUAGACUUCUAUUUUCCUUUCCGCAACCCUAUUUUGUUGUGGGGUGUAACUUGUUGUCAGUUGCCUAAAAGUUCCAUUUGCUUCACAAAAAAGCUUCAAAUUCGUUAGAAAUAAAUUCACCUCCUCUGUCUGUACGAAGAGUUUUAAUUUGAAAGCCUAAUUAAUUCCUUCUCAAUCAUAUUUUUGAUUUUUUUAAAGAUAAGAAAGCAUCACACUUAUGUCUUACAAAAUCCACCAAUGUCCUACAGCUAAAAUCGUCAACAAACACAAGAUAAUAAAAAUUAUUAUUCAAAGACGGUGUGUGCAUUGGCCAGACAAACGUUCGCAUUUACGAGCACCAGAGGCUUCUUUGCUCUCCACAUGCUUUUCUUCGGAAAUAGAGAUUGAUGAUGCUUCCCUUAUUUGCAACUUUCAGAAAUCAAGUUACUUUGUGCAAUUUGCGGUAAUCCAUCAACCAUCUCUUUUUUGUACAAGAUCUCUAAUUUGUCAAAACUGGAAUGCUCAAACCUUUCAUGCUACAACCAAUUUUUAUUAAUAGAUACUCCCAUAGCUAGAUUUUGAAAAUCAUUAAAAUAAUUUUUUUUCAUCAUGGCAACUUUAACAAGCAAUUCUUUUCUUUCUAUUCUUGAAAAUGAGGCAUUUACAAUUCUCAAACACCAAAGAAUAUACAAAUGUAAGAAAUUGACCACCACUAAAUAAACUUGUAAUUAAGCUAGAAACAGAAAGAACAUCCGAUAAUUUUGUAAUACCAACAAAGUUUACCUUUUACAACUUCUUUACCUCAUUCUUCAUGAUUAAGAUCGUCUUCCAUUUUUACCGGCUUUCAAACUGAUCUGUCCAACUCGAUAAAUAUAUCUUCUCUUCCUAUCAUGUGAGCACUACAACCACUAUCCAAAUACCAAAUAUUUUUUCAGUCUGUAUUUUCGAUAUAGCAAGCAAAAAGAACAUCAGAUUCAAAAUAGUUAGCAUCAAUUUGAGCAUUGUUUUCCUUUUCUCAUCGACAAAAUCUUUCUAUAUAGGCAUAUUUUCUUACAAUAAAAAUAUUGGAUAUUCUUAAAGGUGUUAUCUCGUUCAGAGAUGUAAGGUUUGUUGCUAUUUCGCUGAUCAGACCCUUCAGAUCUACCUCCACCUCCGUUUUCUUGACCACGAUCGCGACCUUUUCGACGACCAUGGUUUGAUGAAACUUGCCGACUAUAAUAUGCACCUCCUUUGUCCCUACCUUUUGACACAUUCAAAAAAGCAUUCUCUAUUGAAUUUUCAUGAGGUUUGUCGAUAUGAUCCUCAUGUGAUAAAAGAGAGCGCAAAAGGCCAGUAUAAGAAUAUUUAGUUGUGAGACCCCAGGUAGUCCUAUAUAUAAGAUAUAAUAGGGCUCAAACUCUUAACCCGGCUUAAGCAUUUUGGAUGGUGGCUAGGCUUAAGAGGUUAAGAAAAUUAAGCGUGCUAAGACGGGAGUAGUCCUAGGAUGUUGACCCCCUGGGAAGGCGGGGUGUCACAGUUGAUACAAGAGUCAAUUACCAGCCGAAAGUGUGAAAUAAGUCUCAGCUAAGCCAGGAUUAUACAGUGGGGAAAGCGAGGCUCUCAUACUGUUGACUGUUGUGGGUGGAGCGUAGCUCACCAUAAGGUCGGUUUAGGCUAGCGAGAUGAGUCUCACAUUGUUACGCUCUGCGACCGCCAAUUUGGUCGGUUCGGGUACAUUGAUCAGACGCCAAAUGGAUGAGCCUCCCCUGUCCGCCAAAGGCUAACAACAACGAGAUCAUGUAUAUAAACAGUUGCCCAGAAAACAUUAACCUCAUACAUGAUCUAAGUACUAAUACAAGCAAUCAACAAAAGAGAGAAAGAUCUAGCUAUUACAAGUUCAUUCAACAUAUACAUCGAGUUUACAUUUUUCAUCUCCAAAAUGUAUACAUGUUCAUCCACAACUCUCUAAAAUACAUAUACAUCAUGUCCUCUCAUCUAUACAGAGUGUACUAAUGUAUAAAGGAAAGCUGCUAGCUAACUAGGGCGCUAUGCCCUUCCCGUGGCCUCGCCCGGUUAGCUCGAACUCGGCCCUGCAACAAAGUGGGAUGAGAACUAUAUAAAUAUAGUUCCCAGUGGGUUCGGCCGCCGACUUCGCCGAUCUUCCCACUAGGUCUAAGCAGGCAUAAGUAGAUAGAUAGAUAGAUAUGAAAAUAAGCUGCUACAUAGUAACGAAAUCUACAACAUGUUACUAUGCCUCAAUAAAUAGAAUGAAUGCAUGACCAUAGUAAUGUACUCUACUAAUAUGAUACUAUGUCUCAAUCUGCAAGGUAUAAAGAAAAUGUCUACAUAGUAAUGAAACCUACUAUCAAAUACUAUGUCUGAUAUCCAAUCUCAUCUCGGCUAAUCCGGAGGUUACGCCCAAACUCACAUCUCAAAUCUUGCCGAUGGGUAGACUCUGCGCUACACACACCCGAGAUCGUCUGCUGGGUAAUCAAGUUACCCAAACGCGACGAUGACUCCGGAGCUUACUACUUGGGGUGGAGCGACCACGCCAAGAUUAUACAGACUAUGUGAGUACGAUCCAAUCCUCUCACUCGAGGAUAGUUAGUGCCUCUACUGCACUAGUUCACAUGCUACUACUCAGGCGCCUGAAGGUUUUAGGCGGGAACGGUUGAGAAGUGGGCAUAACUUCCACGAUGGAGCGUAACUUCCAUGAGGAGUGGCGUUGAAGGUUUUAGGCGGGAACGGUUGAGAAGUGGGCAUAACUUCCACGAUGGAGCGUAACUUCCAUGAGGAGUGGGCGUAACUUCCACGAUCAUGGUUACAACCACUCCCCCCACUACUUUCAACCGACCAAUAAUGUGGGUUGAGAAGACAUCACUAUAAAUAGUAACUUCAAAGCCUGUAAUAAAGGUCUUUCUCCAUCCUGAACGAGAAGACCACCUUUAUUUCCUCUGCAUUUUAUCGCUUUUCUAGGAGUAGUUUAAAUGUAAUCUUUUUUUUUUCGCAUUUACUGCUUUCCUAGGAGUAGUUCGCUAAGUAAAACUCUGGAGUCUGUCUGCCCCACAGGCAUCACUCCGUUUUAGACUACAUUUGCAGAGUCUGUCUACCCCACAGGCAUCACUCUGUUGUAAACUAUAUUUCUGAGUCUGUAUGCCCUUCGGGCACACUCUUUUUUAUUAUUAUUAUUAUAUAAAGGCGUUCAACUCUUUCAGCCGACCAGUCGUUGUGUACUUCUUCCAUUCGGCUCUUUCAGCCGACCAGUCAUUGUGUAUUUCAUUUAUUCGGCUCUUUCAGCCAACCAGUUACUAUGUACUUUUUUCAUUCGGCUCUUCUGCCGACAUUGAUCUCUGCACAGUUCAUACAUUCGACUCCUCCAGCCGAACCGAUUUUAUAGUAGUGGUUUUCGAACCCGGCUGGCUCGAUCCCUCGUCAGCCGAAUCGCUUGAUCUGUCGAAGGGCGCAAACUUCGAGGGCCACUAUCCGUAGCCGUUCCUCACCGCGACGCACUCCCCGAGGAGGAUCUUUGACCGGGUCAAGGGUCGGAAAAUUCAGCUACCAACAAUCACGAUCAUAAUUCAAACUGUAUAUAUUCUUAUUUGACCAUAAAAUAUAAGAUAAAUAAAUUUAUGAUAAAUUAAUAUUGUAUGCAAGAUUUUAAAUCCUUAUGUGAAUAUGUGAAUAAAUUCUAUUAUGUUCACGAUACUUUAGUAAAUAUAAAUAUUCCAACGGAUCGAAUUUAGAUGAAUAAAGGAGCUUAAGUGUGUAAUGUGCUUAAAACCGGAUGCCUACUAAGCAAAAAUUUGCGAAAGAAACCAAAUAAUAAAUUAAUAAUGGGUUCAGUCUUGAUAGGUUCAACUCUUGUCCGUAUCUGUAAACUACUAUUAAUUUUUGUGGGAUUCAAUCUCUCUCCUUAUUUUAAGGAGAAAAGGUGAUCCACUUUUUCUCUAAAAUAUACAGAAUAAUAUCUUAAUUAAGCAAUCCAUCACGUAGAAUAAACCAAUCAAUAUCAUGGCUAGAUGCAACUCACGAGUCCGUACUAUUACAUUAAUGGAUUGGCCAGUCAACUUAAUCCAAUUAAACAGUUCGACGGAUUCAAAGCUAACCAAAAUAUGGAUGCGGCCAAUUCAAAAUAAAUUGAUCCUAUUCAUCAUCUCCUUCCAUUAUUAUGGUUUCAUUCAAAAACCUGAAACCCAAAACAGGGUUAAUCCCUGCCAUAUCAAACAUGGACGACGUUGUCGCGUGCUGCAAAAGCCACAGAUUUACAAAAAGAAGUGGAUGUACGAAAAAUAAAAACGACCACCAAUUUGCAGAAGAUGAUGAAUAGUUUAUAAAUUGUCCUAGGCCAAAUCAAAACUAGCGAUGAUCUAAAUCCGCAUGGUACUUUUCUUACUUCAUUCCAAAAUUCAUCAUAAUUGAAUCCGAUUAAAUAAUGCAUACAAUAUAUAAUUUUUCGUUCAUGUUCUGAUACCAAUUGUAGAUUUAUAUCGGUACAUAAAACAACAAUAGAAUUAAAUAUCAAAAUUAUAAAAAAAAUAAAAUAACUCACAGAGUGCGGAGAAAAAAAAUUCUUGAUUAAUCCGUGGAAGCAAAAAGUAUGGUUGUGAUAUGAAUAUCAUCAACCGAACUUGGGUAAUUUGGUUUCUACUUCUGUCUCAGGCACUCUCUCAUAUGGUGUGGAACAUAUAGUAAUUUUUUACCAGAAUGUAUAUAAGAAGGUGGCAAGACCAAUAUCCUUUUAUAUAGAGUUCAGAUCGACUUGUCAUUAAACUCUGAUUAGAAUUCUAUUAAAUUUAAAUAGAUGAGAAAUAGAUAAAAUAUACCAUAGUAAGUAAUUUUAUAUCUAUUAGAAUUGACCUUUAUUUAUUGUAAAUUCAAAUUUAAAUAUUGGUUAGUUGGGCCACAUUUAUGAAAAUCCUAACUGCAUGAACUCUAUUAGAGACGACUAUGCGGCUCAAAAUGUCAUUUUUUUCUUCCUAUCGCAACAAAAGUUUUCUUUCUUCUUUUAUUUUUUAUUUUUUAUUUUUUAUUUUUAUUUUUAUUUUUUUUACCAGGAACACUAUUAGAGGCUACAGCUACGUACUUACGUCACAUCUAUAAAAUAAUGAGACUUCAAUAUAUCAUAUUUUCUACAAUUAGUAUAUGACCAACAUAAAACUAAUGGGAGUACAUAAGAUACGUCCAAUUUAGCAUUAGAUUUCUGGAAAAGCGCAACUCUUGAGCAGAAAAUUCUGAGUGUUGAAAAAUUUUUCUGAUCUUUAAUUAUUACAAUAUUUUUUAAAAAUAAUUUGAAAGCUUAAUUUUAGGUUUAGAAAAAUUUCGAGAAAGAAAAUAAAUAACAAAUACGGUAAAGAAAAGGUUUAGAAAAGACCUGUGGAUCGAUAUGUGUAGAGCACUGUCCUAAAAGUGAAAUUAUCCCUCUACGUGCAAGGUUUUUUCGUAAUUACUUGCAGCGAUACAAUGACCAUGUUCCACCCCGUCGGCACGAUUUCAAGGUAGAGCAAAACGAACCCAACAAGCUUCAGAUCCAGCAAAGCAAACUCGGCGAAAAUCAGCGCAUACAAUCAAUGGCGAGAAAGCAAGAAAAAGGCGAGGUAGGGUUUAGGUAUACUCGGGUUCUUCAUGAACUCAUGCAAACCUCCUCCUAUCUACAUAACCAAGGCGAGAAUCUUGCUUUCACCGCAUCAAAUCCGUGUAAAAUAAGAUAAGCCUAAGAUUAUACGGAUAAGGAUUAGGAUUAGGAUAAAGAUAAAACCGAAAAAAUAAAAUUAAAAAUAAAAUAAACCAGGUGUAUGGACCGCGAGCGUCGCUGCCCUGUCAAGGCCCUUUUUGGUUGUUAACGGUCCUGACUUUGUCAAUAAUACUGAGUUUGUAAAGAGUCUGUAAAUGUUGCGUCGGGCACGACGCCGACAUAGGAUUUUCCUUGUUUGGGAUUGGCAUUGCUUAUAAAUUGGCAUCCGGUUGGCUACCCACGGGUUCACUCGUACUACACGUCUAAGGGGGCAUAGGUAUUUCGCUAACGAUGGUUGCUUAUGCGACGGAUUGAGCCAGACGCGUGUCGGACAUGGAUCGGCGGCCUAUUUUCCCAUAGGUGUGCGCAGUGGGGAAAACGUAUCCCUCGGUGAGCACCUUUGUACCCCGGGGUGCCAAAUAGGUGGAUGCCAAUAUAGAAUAGUAUGGGAAGGUUGGGUGAGACGUAUUAAGUGAGUCGGCUUCGCUAAAUGUGGAGUGUCUUAGUAAUCAUUUUGCCCUCAUCGGCCAUGCCCGACCGAGUCGUGUGCCUUUCGCUUAUAGUUCAACUUUUCGUUAUUAAUAAAAUACUCGUUGUUUGUGCCAAUUUGCAGGACCCCUUUACAUGCUUUCUCUCAAUUCUCGGUCGUUGCCAAUUUGCGAAGUUGUCUCGAGACGGUUUGGCUGGCUCGUUUGUGCAGGCCACGAACGAGCGCCGCACGGGUUUUCCGACAAAAAGUCAUUAGACCCGUGACAGCCCGCCUUGCUCGUGCCAUGCGUGCAUUUAAACGAAAACAUAACUCUCAUUUUCUCCCAAACAACUAGCUUGAAAAUAAAAAAAUAUAUAAUACCAUUAACACCCUUUUAGUUUUCAAUGUGGGAUUAAACCUCACACAUGAAAACUUACGUUGGGCUCCCAAGCAAGGCCCAUUAAUAAUUAUUGGGCUGCCCAAGAGGCCCUAACAAGUUUUAAAUCACCAAAAUCCAAUAAAAUCUAAUAUUGAGUUUGAUAACUUUUACAAUCAGAAAAAUAUUUAAACGGUCAUAACUUUUCGCUCGAGUAUUCGAUUUUAACGUGCAACUCUAAUUUGGAAAAUAUUUUUCGAAAUCUACGUGUCAAAUGUGAAGCUAUUCAGGCUGAGUUUGAGACCAAAAUUUAAUUGUUUCAGCCUCCAUUUUUACAUUUUUAGGUUUUCUCCAAAAAAUUAUGUAUUUUUUAUAUUUUGAAUUUGAUUAUUUGAUUACUUCUAAUCUGAUUAGACUAAGAGAUAUAUUAGAAUCUUCGUCUAAUAGAAUUCAGGUAUCAACUCUAAAUAUAGACGUGGCGUUCCAGUAAUGUAAUGAGAUUUAAGAGUUGAUUAAUAAUAUUUUCGUUUUGUCGAAGAAUUAGUUCUUCGUUUAUCAUCUUUUUUCGUCCUUGUACUUAUUCCCUCUCAAGGCUUAAGUCAACUUUUACCUUCGAAACCCGAAUGAUGUUUUAGAAUAUUGUGAGAUAAAAAUAUGACUUGUUCAAAACCAUAAGUGCUUUCUACAAUUGGCAUACUUUAGGUACUUUCUCUUUCUUAACAAAGCUGUCAACUAGGAAAGUUGUUUUCAUAUCCGUUUAAAGAAUUUUGGAAUCAAAAUAAGCCAUCAAAAUCCCAAAAAACAUAUAAAUAUUUAAUUUUGGAUUAUAGUUGGAAAGUUUUUAAAUAAUCAAUACAUUUCUUUAGGUGCACUCUUUACGUACAAGUUUGGCAUUUUAUGUUUCAAUAACUCGGGCAUAUUUGGUGUACUUUAAACAAAUUGGCUUGCAUUUCCAUACCUCAGAUUUAACUUGUACAGAGUUUGUUUUCUUUUAUAUUCCUUCAAUUGAAGUUUAAAUGGUGGUAUUACGUUUAAGAUUCAUCUUCAAGGUCUUCCAUCUUACUAUAUAUGUACUUUUUCUUUGAAAGUGUAACAUCGCGUGAUCUUCUGGUAAUGUCCUUUCUCAUUUAGAACUGUUGAUAAUUCGCAACCUACCCUAAUACCUUUUGCUGUAAACCCCAAACUCACUCUGAUAUCAGUUAUUGGCAUUCCAUUGUGGAAGCGUUCAAUCAGAUUUUUACUAUAAACCUAUCUAUUCAGCAAAAGCUAACAAAUCACAAAAGGGAGAAAAUCAAAUAGAAAAUAUAGAUAAAACAAGAUUCACUAACCAAAAGUAGACUACAUUCGACUCCUUUUCUAUACAUUGUAGUUUCAACCCAAAGCCUCUUUGUGAAUCUCUCUCCGCUCUCUCGUGGUCUAUAAGUCCAAAAAAUUAUCUGCAUUCUCUCUCGCCUCUCUCCUCGUCUGUAAGUCCAAAAAAUUAUCUGCAUUCUCUCUCACAUGCAAACUAGCUAGGUGCAUGCAAACUAUGCUAGUGCAUGCAAACUAUGCCAAGACUCCCCCUAACCUUGGGUGUACAGACCACUCACCUCUGCCUUACUCCUUGCACGAGAGCAUCCCACCACUACAAGAAAAUUAAUAUUGAAGGAUGCUUUUUUUUAUUUAUAUUUAACGAUACUUAAAAGCGUUCUAAUAUAGUCUAACGUCAUAUUUGAAAGCGUUGAUUAAAGCAUUGGUAAAUGAAGAGUCGACACACACACACACAUAUUUUAUAUAUAUAUAUAUAUAUAUAUAUAUAUAUAUAUAUAUAUAUAUAUAUAUAGAGAGAGAGAGAGAGAGAGAGAGAGAGAGAGAGAGUUGGGCUAGAAUACUAUUAAUAGCAAAAUGUCUUUUUUGCUAUCAAGUUUUUAGCCUUUGGAUCAAUUUCUUUUAUUAUUUCUAACUAUUGGAUUAAAUAUAAUAACCCAGUGGGGACCACUCAACCCUAGGGGACCACUAGGGUUGGCAAAUGAGCGAGCCGGCUUGUGUUCCUCUCACGUUCAGCUCGAUAUUCGGCUCGCUCGAGCUCGACUCGAAUUAAUUUCAAGUCGAGCUUGAGCCUAAAUCUAGGCUCGAAGUUAAUUUCAAGCCAAGCUUGAGUAUUAUCGGGCUCGCUCGAAUUAGGCUCGAAAAGCUCGAAAUAUAUAUAUAUAUAUAUAUAUAUAGAAAAAGUCUACUAUAUUAUUAAUAAUACCAACCACUUGCUAUUAGGUCUUCUGCCCUUGGAUGAAAGAAUGUGUGGUUAGGAUAAUAGUAAUUAGAAUGUUUUUCUUUUAUCAUCACAUAAUAAUUAUCUAAGGGCCAGAAACCUAAUAGCAAGUAGUUGAUACUAUUAAUAAUAUUGUAAUUAAUUAUAUACUAUAUAGUAUAUAUAUAUAUAUAUAAUAUUAUACUAUAUAUAUAUAUAUAUAUAAUAUAUAUAUAUAAUAUAGCUAGGGCUACUAUAUAUAUUCUUAUGAAUAUAGGACCUCUUUAUACUUAUAAAUUUUGGCCGUUGGAUUUGCAUUAGGAUAAUAGUGGUCCCUAGGAGUUGAGUGGGUGGUUGGUUGAAUAGUAUAAUUUACGGAUGGAAAUGGUCAAAAGUAUAGAUCUAACGAUAAAAAACUUAUAGUAUAAAGGGUCUAUAGUAAUAGAGUAAUAGUAGCCGAACUCUCUCUAUAUAUAAUUAUAUAUAAUAUAUUUUUUAAUUAUAUAAAUUUAAUAUUAUGUAUUUUAAUUAUAUGUAUAUAGAAUUUAGAUUAUUGGACCCAUAAAACCAAACCAGUAAAUUCUACUUUAAUUGUCUCUCUUUCUCUUUUUCACGUCGCUCAUAGAGUUUUUUUCCUAUUUUUUAUAAUAUUAUAAUAUCGUAUUUCAUAGCAUUCAUUUUGUAUAGUUGAGCUAUUAGAUCGUUUUUGUAUCAAAUUUUAAGAUAAUAUUUUAUAAAUUAAACUAUAGAUUGCACGAUUUAGAAUUUCAAGCAGCUCGUUUAGGCUCGAUCUCGCUCGACUCAAAAUUAGGCUUGCUCGACUCGUCUCGAAUUAAUUUCAAGCCGAGCUGAGCCUAAAUUUAGGUCCGAAUAAUUUCAAACUAAGCUUGAGGCUGAGGUAGACUCGCUCGAGCUCGCUCAUUUCACCCGCUAGGGACCACUCAACCCUAACUUACUAAUAUCAUUCUAACCCUAUAAUUUCUCAUAAAGGUUAAAAACUUAAUAGCAAAAAGAGCAUUUUGCUAUAAUAGUAUUCCAACCUGUAGUGUCCUAUGUUUAGCGGCCUGUUUGUUUUUAGCAUCGAGGCUUGUCGACACGUCUGGAGAGUGUCGGAAUAAGUCGGAAUCAUUUUAGCGGCGGAAUGUACGCAAAACGGACUCAACUGACGUGAGAGAGGCAUCUGACAUUAAAAUCUGCAAAAUCAGGAUUUCAGUGUUGAGUAUCGAUCCCAAGAGGAGUACCGUACCUCUAGUGAUGGCAGAGAUGGAAGCUCUCGGUUUCCGCGUAGUUGAUGCUGAGUAACUCGGUAAUUGGUUGUCGAGUACUGGUACGCGACGAGCCCUAGUAUCGGUACUGCAUCGGCGAGUACGGUACCGUAGUGUGCGCGAGCUACGGGCUGAGGGCCGGGUACCGGUAUCAAGCUGAGUACGGUACUCCAGCUGUAUUUUUGAGUAGGUAAGGGCAUGCAGUUUAGUCUUUUGAUUUGGUCGUUCAUUCCUAAUUACCCAACUCUUAUAUGGGGUUUAGGAGGCAUAGAAGAGGAGAUGCCUUCUCCCUCCCCCCCCCCCCCCCCUCUCUCUCUCUCUCUCUCUCUUUUUCUCUCUCUCUCUCUAGCUGGUGGAGUUUAGUCUUUUGAUUCGUUUUAAGCCAAUUAUUGUAGGGUUCCAUAUCUCGUCGACCUUAGGCAUUAUUGCCCUCUGGGGGUUGGUCCAUCUAAUUACUUAAAUUUUUUAGGACCUCUUACUCUGCGAGAACAUAUUGAAUUUUACAGUACCAAAUAUCAUAAUUGUUAUCAUCUAAUUUCUCGCCUUUAAUUAGAUCAGCAACAACUUGUUUGGAGGCCAUUUUAUCUUACUAAGUAAGCACAGUGCAAAAAAAGAGAUACUUAAAAUUAGCACACAAUACUUAUAUUAAAUUUUAUCGCAUCUAUAAUUAAAUAAACUAAAAUUUGGAUCAUAGGUGCGCAAAGAAAAAUUUCGCUGUACUCAUAAUCACAUCAUGCACUCUAUGCCAAAUUUUUAAUUAUUUAAUUAAGUUACACAAAAUAUUUGGAAGUAAAACAUACGAUUUACUCUAACAAAAAAAAAACUCCCACUUGAAGUAGCAUGCAUAAAAAUACACCAUACCAUAAGCAUCAUCCAUAUAUCAUAAAGGCAUAAAAAUAUUAUAAUACUUAAAUGUAUGCCAUAUAUAUCACAAAAUCAUAUUAAAUCAUAUAAUAUGCUUAAAAAUAAAUUUUUUAUUUUAUUUUCUUUUAUUAAAAGAAAAUUGUGUGCCGAGCUCACACGCGGCUCACGCGCCCGUUGCGCGAAGCACGCGCCUGUCCAUGGGCACACGUGUGCGGCCCAAGCCCAAGCCAAAGCGCACAUCUUGGCGUGAGUGCGACUGCAUGCGCCCCAGUCGGAGCCGUGGGCGCGCAUCCACGUGGGUUCCGUCGCUACAGCCCUGAUUUUUUUUAAAAAUGAAUAAAUUUUAAAAAUUCAUAAUUUUAAAAGUACCACUCCAAAUCUUACCAGAAAUAUAUUAAUAGAAAGCUUGUGAGAAGCUUUAUCAAAUCAUGUAUGUUUUAUAAUGGGAUAUAUAUUAAGAGUUGGGUUUAGAAUACUAUCGAUAGUAAACGGGCUCAUUGCCAUUCAUUUGUUUUCAAUGAUAGAGCCUCUAAAAAGAUAAUUGGCACUGUUGAAUAUGAUUUAUACCACUUGAAGUGUUUAGAAAUCAAAUUUCAAAUCUUUUCGAUAUCAUUUGCUUAAUGAUCAAAGGGUUUUAAAAUUUGUAAUUUUAAUGGUCGAUAUGAGGUGUUUUCUCGUUUAAUAGCGUAAAGAUAUCCAAAUCAAUUGAAUUUUUGUUAGAAAAUUCUUUAAACUAUUUAAAACAAGAUCUAUACUCUUGAUCUUGACUACAUGACUCCUAUCAUUAUUUUUUAAAAAAUAUUCAUUUUCAGCCGUUUGUUUUUGUGUCCACUCGAUGGAUAAAAGAAUAAUAUCAAAAAUGUAUGAAAUUUGAUUUCUAAACACUUUAAGUGGUAUAGAUUGUGUUCAACGGUGCCGAUCGUCGAUUUGGAGGCUCCAUCAUCGAAAAUAAAUAGGUGGCAACGAAGCCCGUUUGCUACCGAUAGUAUUCUAGCUCAACUCCAUAGAUUACACAUCGAACAAGUCACCCACAAAUUUUUUAUUUAGAAUUUUAUUUUUCUCAUAAAAUAUAAAUCUAAAUUAAAUCAAAUUUGGUAGAUUUAAUCUACAACAUAGGUACUACAAGAUGUGUAAAUAAUCAUGCAAAUAUNUUUUUAAUUAUAUAAAUUUAUAUUAUGUAUUUUAAUUAUAUGUAUAUAGAAUUUAGAUUAUUGGACCCAUAAAACCAAACCAGUAAAUUCCUACUUUAAUUGCUCUCUCUUUCUCUUUUUCACUCGCUCAUAGAGUUAUUUUUCCUAAUUUUUUUAAUAUUAUAAUAUCGUAUUUCAUGCAUUCAUUUUGUAUGUUGAGCUAUUAGACGUUUUUUGUAUCAAAUUUUAGAUAAUAUUUUAUAAAAAUUAAACUAUAGAUUGCACGAUGUUAAGAAUUUCAAGCAGCUCGUUUAGGUCUCGAUCUCGCUCGACUCAAAAUUAGGCUUGCUCGACCUCGUCUCGAAUUAAUUUCAAGCCGAGCUUGAGCCUAAAUUUAGGUCCGAAAUUAAUUUCAAACUAAGCUUGAGCUGAGGUAAACUCGCUCGAGCUCGGCUCAUUUCCAACCCUAGGGACCACUCAACCCUAACUUACUAAUAUCAUUCUAACCCUAUAAUUUCUCAUCAAAGGGUUAAAAACUUAAUAGCAAAAAGAGCAUUUUGCUAUCAAUAGUAUUCCAACCUUGUAGUGUCCCUAGUGUUUAGCGGCCUGUUUGUUUUUAGCAACUGAGGCUUGUCGACACGUCUGGAGAGUGUCUGAACAAGUCGGAAUCAUUUUAGCGCGGAAUGUACGCAAAACGGACUCAACCCGACGUGAGAGUGGAAUUCUGACAUUAAAAUCUGCAAAAUGCAGGAUUUCAGUGUUGAGUAUCGAUACCCAAGAGGAGUACCGGUACUCUAGUGGAUGGCAGAGAUGGAAGCUCUCGGGUUUGCGCGUAGUUGAUGCUGAGUACCGGUACUUGGUUGUUGAGUACUGGUACCGAGCCCUAGUAUCGGUACUGCAUCGGGCGAGUACCAGUACCCAGUGCGCGAGGCUGCGGGCUGAGGGCCCGGGUACCGGUAUCAAGCUGAGUACCGGUACUCCAGCUGUAUUUUUGAGUAGGUAAAGGGCAUGCAGUUUAGUCUUUUGAUUUGGUCGUUCAUUCCUAAGUUACCCAACUCUUAUAUGGGGUUUAGGAGGCAUUUGAGAAGGGAUCCUUCUCCCUCCNUCUCUCUCUCUCUCUCUCUCUCUCUCUAGCUGGUGGAGUUUAGUCUUUUGAUUCUUUUUAAGCUAAUUAUUGUAGGGUUCCAUAUCUCGUCGACCUUGGGCAUUAUUGCCCUCUGGGGGUUGGUCCAUCUAAUUACUUAAAUUUUUUAGGACCUCUUAUUCUGCGAGAACAUAUUGAAUUUUACAGUGCCAAAUAUCAUAAUUAUCAUCAUCUAAUUUCUCGCCUUUAAUUAGAUCAGCAACAACUUGUUUGGAGGCCAUUUUAUCUUACUAAGUAAGCACAGUGCAAAAAAAAGAUACUUAAAAUUAGCACACAAUACUUAUAUUAAAUUUUAUCGCAUCUAUAAUUAAAUAAACUAAAAUUUGGAUCAUAAGUGCGCAAAAAAAAAUUUCGCUAUACUCAUAAUCACAUCAUGCACUCUAUGCCAAAUUUUUAAUUAUUUAAUUAAGUUACAUAAAAUAUUUGGAAGUAAAACAUACGAUUUACUCUAACAAAAAAAAAACUCCCACUUAAAGUAGCAUGCAUAAAAAUACACCAUACCAUAAGCAUCAUCCAUAUAUCAUAAAGACAUAAAAAUAUUAUAAUACUUAAAUGUAUGCGAUAUAUAUCACAAAAUCAUAUUAAAUCAUAUAAUAUGCUUAAAAAUAAAUUUUUUAUUUUAUUUUCUUUUAUUAAAAGAAAAUUGUGUGCCGAGCUCACACGCGGCUCACGCGCCCGUUGCGCGAAGCACGCGCCUGUGCAUGGGCACACGUGUGCGGCCAAGCCCAAGCCAAAGCGCACAUCUUGGCGUGAGUGCGACUGCAUGCGCGCCCCACUCGGAGCCGUGGGCGCGGAUCCUCGUGGGUUCCGUCGCUACAGCCCUUUUUUUUUUUGAUUUUUUUUAAAAAUGAAUAAAUUUUAAAAAUUCAUAAUUUUAAAAGUACCACUCCAAAUCUUACAAAAAAUAUAUUAAUAAAAAGCUUGUGAGAAGCUUUAUCAAAUCAUGUAUGUUUUAUAAUAGGAUAUAUAUUAAGAGUUGGGUUAGAAUACUAUCGAUAGUAAACGGGCUCAUUGCCAUCCAUUUGUUUUCAACGAUAGAGCCUCUAAAAAAACAAUCGGCACUGUUAAAUAUGAUUUAUACCAUUUGAAGUGUUUAGAAAUCAAAUUUCAAAUCUUUUCGACAUCAUUUGCUUAAUGAUCAAAGGGUUUUAAAAUUUGUAAUUUUAAUAGUCGAUAUGAGGUGUUUUCUCGUUUAAUGGCAUAAAGAUAUCCAAAUCAAUUGAAUUUUUGUUAGAAAAUUCUUUAAACUAUUUAAAACAAGAUCUAUACUCUUUAUCUUGACUACAUGACUCCUAUCAUCAUUUUUUUAAAAAUAUUAAUUUUCAGCCGUUCGUUUUUGUGUCCACUCGAUGGAUAAGAGAAUAAUAUAAAAAAUAUAUGAAAUUUGAUUUCUAAACACUUUAAGUGGUAUAGAUCGUGUUCAACGGUGCCGAUCGUCGAUUUGGAGGCUCCAUCAUCGAAAACAAAUAGGUGGUAACGAAGCCCGUUUUGCUGCCGAUAGUAUUCUAGCUCAACUCCAUAGAUUACACAUCAAACAAGUCACCCACAAAUUUUUUAUUUAGAAUUUUAUUUUUCUCAUAAAAUAUAAAUCUAAAUUAAAUCAAAUUUGGUAGAUUUAAUCAACAACAUAGGUACUACAAGAUGUGUAAAUAAUCAUGCAAAUAUAUCCACCUAAAAAAAAUCGCUAUUAACAUUCACAAGCAUGCAAGAAAAAAAUUCAAACGGUGGUAGAUUUAAUUUUAUGCAUGCAACCUUGGUACAAAAUUAAUAUAGGGCACAAAAUCAACUUAAUAAGGCUAUAAUACCAAUGUAGCACGCAGCGAAAGUAUUAGUUUGUAUUCUUUACGAAAGCGACUCGCGCUAGAACGUGAUGAGCUUGGAUCGUAGAGGUUGAUUCAUGUGUCGUCGGAUCGUCCACGAAAGUCUUCUAACGCUCCAUAUCUACGGUAGAUCAAACUACGAAGGAGCACGAUCUCUAAUCCACCGUUCAAGACCCUUUGGAAUAAGAUGUUAAUGGAGAAUGUGGUUUUUCUCUCUAAUAAGAUGGCUCACAAAUUACUCACCAAUUUAUCAGUGUUUUUCUUUAUUUUCCUUAUUUUUUCUAUGAGAGAAUAGCCCGUAUAUUUAUAAGAGAUCUCAAAAUCAUAAUAGGAGAGUAAGAGAUUUAAGCCAAAUCGGUUUAUGUUUGUUAUUCUAAUUUGACUAGAAUUUAUCUCUAAUUAGCUUUUCAAUUUAAAAGCGAGAUUAAAUCUAGUCUAAUUAGACAACAUAAUAAUCGUCGGAUCAAGUUCGAUCAUGGGCGCACCCAAUUCAGUUUAACCGAAUGUCAACAGCCACCAAUCUUGAUUGUACUUCUCCACUACGUCUUGUGCACGCAUUUUCUUUGCUUAGUAUACCCAUUUUACUCUGAUGGCCUGGUUCCCCAUGGGAAGUGUAGUCAGCUCCCAUACUUAGUUCUUUUCAAUCGCUUUGAUCUCAUCAUUCAUGGCAUACUUUCAUUUUUCUUCACGGAUGGCUUCUUAGAACUCUAAAGGUUCACUAUCAUGCCCCAGGUUGCAGCGGACUCGGCUAAUUGCUAACAGAUCUGCCGCAUACAUGAAAAACCCUAUGCACACGAAGCAUCUAACAUGCACAAAUAAAUACAAUCUACAACAAUUGUAGACAUUAGAGCUGGAAAAGAACUAAUACAUAGAUGUAACCAUAUUGUACAUACAUCACUACCCAAAAAUACAAUGUCACCUCAAUGUACAGAGUCAACUCUCACAACUGAAAUAAAGUACAAGCUAGCCAAGCCAGUCUAAUAUGUACAGUACGUCUCAAAACUAAAGUCCAUCCAGUCCACCUCUAUCAUAGUCCAUAGGUAGAAGAUGCUAUCUAUCCUGCGAUCCCCUUAUCUCGAUUAGAAACAGCGGUAGCAAGUGUAGAGGGCUUUGCAAUAAAAGAUCAAUAACGAAGGGCAUGAGAACUAUAAAAACAAGUAGUCCUCAGUGGAUAGCGUCAUCAAUGACAACGGCCUUCUCACUAGGCCUACCAGAGGAAUUAGCAAUAAGAGCUGCUGGAUAGAAACAAGAUAACAGGUUACUGCGGGCAUGAAUCUACCAUUACUAUGUGUCUAAUCUGUACUUUAGGAAAUGAAUGCAUUAUGUAUGAUAUGCAUCAACUAGCUACGAUGCUGUCGAAAUAAACCCAAUCAUACCAACUGGCUUGAAGGUCCAGUCAAGCCCAUGCUAGCAUCAAGUCUAAUCCCUACCAAAUUUGGUCGGUCGUUGAUGCAAUAAUAAUAUAUACUAAAUCAAGUUGCUUAUCUCCGAAGUGGCACUCGAGGGAAGCGAUCCGCUCGAGGAUCAAAGUAACCAGAUCAAGCAUAUAUACUAUACUACUGCAGGUUAUAAUUGAUGUGCAUGAUCAACCAGAUGAUAUAACCACCAAUGAAGUAACCUCCGCACAAUCUGAUGCAAUAAUAGGGUCUCGUUCAUCUGUACAAACCCACGGCUACUGCAAAUCAUAAAGUCUUAAACCCGACACCACCUAAUUUCCCGGGCGAAAUAACCCCCUAUCAACUAAUCCAACCCCCCAAUCCCUGCGCACAAAAUAGUCCACACUGCCAAACCCCUGACCAACAACUGGGACAUGCAAGAAUAAUUAAACUAAUGCCAUUAUGCCACAAAAACAGCUGGUUCAGUUGCAAGACCCAGUGAUAACAUAGUAAACACCAUUUGACUUGAUGCAUUAAGACGAAUUGUAAAUAGUGCAUAAAAGCUACAUUCAGGUACAAGACUUGUUGGCAUUCGGUUAAAUCGAAUCGGGUGCGCCCAUGAUCGGGCUUGAUCGGACGGUUAUUAUAUUAUCUAAUUGGAUUAGGAUUAAUCUUGCUUGCAAAUUAGAAAGUUAAUUAGAGAUAAAUUCUAAUCAUAUUAGGAUAACAAUUAAUAACCGAGUUGGCUUUAUCUAUUACGCACCUAUUAGGAUUUUGAAAUCCCUUAUAAAUAUACGGGCGAUCCCACAUAAAACUAAGAACGGAAAAAGAAAGAGAACAAGAAAAACUGAGAGAAAAACAGAGAAACCACAUCCUCCAUUAACCUAUUAUUCUAGAGGGACUUGAACGGUGGAUUUGCGAUCGUGCUUGUUUGUAGUUCGAUCCACCGCGGGUUUGGAGCGUUAGAAGACCUUCAAGGACGAUCCAAUGACACGUGAAUCAACCUCUACGAUCCGGGUUCAUCGCGUUGUAGCGCGAAUCGCUUCAGCAAAAAGGUAUACGAACGAAUACUUCCGUUGCGUUCUACAAGACUAAUUAGCUUCUACUAACAGAGAGUCUCUAGUUAGCAUCAUAACCAUGCUACUUCAACCACAAAAUAGGACGCAUGCUGGAAUUGCAACUAAUAGACAUACAAGGUAGCACACUGUAUUCGAUGAACUAAAACCCACCUCAAUUCCAGCGAUGGGAUAAAUUUAGCUUCAAGGAUGAAGAUCACUGCAAGACCAGCAAGAAGGAACUCUAGGAACCAGAAAAACUAGCAAACAAACCUACUUGAACAACCUAAAUUUGAAUUGUACCAAAAUUUGAAUUCAACACACCACUUCGGACAGGAACCAAUUGCUUAAGCACCUUUCCCAGCUCAAACUCAAGUGGAAAAUCCAAAGAAGAUUAGAUCGAUGCCUCUAUCCCCUCGCAUUGUUUUUCUUAUCUCCUCCAUUUAGAUUUUUAUUUCUUCUUAUAUUUCUAUUCCUCAACCUUCAAGUCCAUGGCCACUGCCACUCCUAUAUUCUCUACCAUGACCAUUGUUAAAUAUAAAAAUGUUUAAACAUCGUUAUCUAACAGCUUAAGCUUUUAGAGUACAACGGUUGUUUCACAUGGUAUCAGAGCAGGAGGUCCUGAGUUCGAGUCACGCCAGGCUCCUAACAUAUUAAUUUUCUCCCAUUUAAUUUAAGCCCACGUCAUGGGCCGAUUAAAAAGUCUCGAGCCCAGAUGUGAGGGGGAGUGUUAAAUAUAAAAAUGUUUAAACAUCGUUAUCUAACAGCUUAAGCUUUUAGAGUACAAUGGUUGUUUCACAACCACGGCCUUGCCUUGACUGUGAUUUGAUGAGUAUUUGUCGAUCUUUGAUCCUUCCAUUCCUUCCUUCAGUAAGAUCUUUGUUUGAAGGGCUUGUUCUAGAUUUUCUUAUAUCUUCUUUUCAUCCGUUGUUCAUGAGCUUUCAAUGAUCACAAGAGUAGAUCAACUGUCAAUGCAUGUGGGUCUUUUGCCUCUUUGGUUGCUACAACCACAUAUUUAAAUUUAUUAUUAAUGAAUGAAGAACUCUUUGAAAUAUCUGUAACUUGUCUACUUUUCACUGUUUUGUCGAAAUUCGCUCACCAUAAUUGCAUCUUCAUGUCGUCAAGUUUGUCUCUUAGUCUUUGCAGGAAAACUCUCUUUAUCUUUUGUACGCCUUUGUUGAUCAUGGUCCGGAGGAUCUCCCCUACUUGUUUUGAGGUGGCAACUGUUGCGACUUUUUCAAAAUUGGCAUAAUCCGGGUGCAAAUAGAUGAUGAAGAGGGUUUUCUUAUCCUCUUUCUUGACUUUUUGAGAGCAAACAGUUGACUUGAUUGGAGUAGGACUUUAUUUUGAGGCUCAACGUGGCCUCUCAAAACUACCUCCCAGAUAUCUUUAGAUUUGAACAGAGCCUUCAUCUAUAUAUAUAUGCUCUAAUUAUCGUAGAUGUGCUUCAUUAGAUGAAGAUCUUGACAUUGCAUGCCAUUGGACAUCUUGUUGAAUUAGGCUUCUUUCUCAGAUAUGCCGCUCUGAUACCACUUUGUUGCAAUAGAUAUUAUAGAUUCAAAUGAGGAGAUGCACUCAAUUGGACGAAAGAGAAAACUUUACUAAGCGGAGAUGCUAGCUAUGCCCCCGGUUGCAGCUCAUACAAUUCAACUACAUCUAUAUAUAUAUACAGCUCGAACUUCAUUACGAUAAUUACAAUCUAAACUUCAUAUCCCAACUUUAAUAACAACUUAACUUUAUCCAAAUCCUCCUAAUAAAUUAAUAAACGUUAUUGACAUUUGGAACUAAUUAUGAGAUAAAAACAUUAUCAACUAGUUAACAAAUUGAUAACAUUUCGACUAACCAAAUUUAUAACUUUCCAAUACUUUUGUUUUCCCUUGAAAGAUAAGUUUGUAUACUAAUCAAAGACAACAAUAAUAAAGUUUUUCGAUUGCACAUUUUUGAUAAGCAUAAACUUUUGUCACAACAAAAAAAACAAAAAAAAGGUAAAAAAUCAAUUCAAGGAACAAAUUGGCUAGACAAUCCAAUCCCAUAUACUUAAUUAUAGACUGCACAGAAAUAAGUUUUAGAACCAAUUGAAAUAUUUGUGAAAAUUUAAAUAAUAAAUCAAGUUUUAUCCUUAGAAAUUGGUUUUCUUUGUUGUUACGAAAAGUGCUACAAAAACUAUUGUUCCUCAAUCAUAGAUUUAAUAAUAAAAUUUUGGUAAAUUUAACAGAAUAUUUAGAAUUGCGUGAUUUAUAUGUACAUAGUUAUGCAUUAUCGUUUACAAAGAAAUAACUUAUAUACUAAAGUGAGAAAGUGAAUAAUAGAUUUUGAGUUUCUCUACAGAGCAUAGUAACUCUAGCUAUUUGUGUUUUACAUUGUUUUUCCUUUGGAAAACUUCAAAUACCACCUCUGUAAUUUUUCACUUUCUCACUUUAGUAUCCUAUAUAUGGUUUAAAGUGUAUCGAGUUAGUGCCUUGUUGUUUUAUUUUUAUCUUUUAAUUAUCGAUUACACUAAUUUUUUUCGUUAAAUUAGUGACAAAGUUUAAACUAAAGGAUACUAAAGUGAAUAUUCGAUAAACUUAGGUGUGGUAUCUGAAUUUUUUUUGUAUAUAAUUUAACGAAAUAUUAACCAAAAAAGCUGACGAAAAUAUAAAAAUGAAAUCAUGACACUAACUUGAUAUAUUUUAAACCACAUUACACUAAAGUGAGAAAGUGCGAAAUCACAGUAGUGGUAUUUAAAGUUUACCCUUUUCCUUUAUAAUAGAAAUGAGCCAGAAUUUUCAGUAUGCUUAGUUUAGCAAUGAUUUUCUUAGUUAAAGCUCUUCACAAAAUGAGUUGUAUGUUCGUUCAAACUAGAUUUGCAAUUAUUUUGUCCAUUAUGCAGAGUUAUGGCCCGAAAUUAUUAGUAGUGAAGUUUGAGUUUCCCAUCUAGUAUAGUAAUUACCUUAUUUGGUUUUCUUUGUUUGACUUAUUUUCUUCUCAUUAUAGAAGUGAGAAAGAAUUUUCAAUAUUCUUAGUUUAGCAGUAAUUUUCUCUGUUGAAAUUCUAAAUAAAAUGACCUGUACUGAUGUUGUCUCAAAUUUCAUACCAGAUAAUUUUCGUAACAAAUCAAACAACUGAACGCUAGUUAUUAAAGCACGUCAUAAACUGUGCUAGCUAGUUAUGUUGCUUGCAAUUUAACCAACUUCCUAGUGUAGACAAGAUCAAAAGUAAAGUACGUUUUCCUUUUGUUUUGCCAUAUAUAAUUUUCUCCAAUUUCAAGAUCAAGAUAUUGUUAUGUAUGCUAAAAAAAGGCUAGAAUUUUAGCUUUGAAGACCAAUACAUGCUUGAGUGCAGGUACCGAGAAACUGUGAAAGCUCCAUCUGUCGUCUAGGUUUUGUUUGAUUAUCCUUAAAAAUCUUUCACUCUUGUUAAUAUAUUUGAAUAUAAAUGGUUAUUGGUGGCAUGAAUCUAUUUUUUAAUUCAUUUAUUUUUUAAAUUUGAUUUGUUUUUUAACUAUAUUUCUAAUUUAGAUGUACCGCAAAUAUUUAUUAUAUGUGUUCCACAACAUACAAUUUUUUUUUAAUGUGUACCCAAAAUUUAAAACUUUAAUUUGAGUUUGAUUGCAAAAUUUAAAUUAAAUUCUAAAUUUAUAUUUAAAUUUGUGAAUCAGCUCAAAUUUUAGAUUUAAUUUUUAAUCCAUUAUAAACAAUUGUGAUUUUAUAUGUCUAUUUUUAAACCAUUCGAUUUUUCAAACCUGAUUUGAUUUUAGUUAUUUUUUGUUUUUCCUUGUAAUGUGUAUGGAAUAUUAUUUUAUUCCAUUUAAGAUUUCAUAUUUGCCUACUCAAAAUUUCCUAUACACUUUUGUAUAUAAUAUAGAGAGAUAUAUGAGAGAGAGAGCUCGUGUAAGGUCCCGACCGGGUAGCAAUAGUAACUUGUUGGGCCCAAAUCAUCGACUCAAAAUGCUUAGCCUAAUUAUUAUUAAUAGGGUUUAUGGCUCCUUAUAUAUCCAAUCAUAAUCUCGUUCCUAUCCAAUGUGGAACUAUUAGUGUCAUAGACUUCUCGUUCAGGCCUUGACAUCCUCGUCAACCCAAUGUUCUACACAACUCAAGACUAUUAGGUGAUGUGAGACUUGUUUCGCAAGUCUUGUCAUUCAAACCCUAACAGAGUCUGUCAUUCAGACCUUAACUCAGCCGAGGUUCAUCUCAUGCUUCCAGCUGGUUAUUGGUUCUGAUACCAAAUGUAAUGACUCAACCGACCCGCUAGUAAUAAUAACUUCUUGGGUCCAAACUAUUGGCCCAAAAUGCUAUAACCAAGUUAAAAAAUUUAGCCCUAUUAUAUCUCAUAUAUAGAACUAUUCCAAAUCAUUCUAAAUCCUGAGGUGUCAUAUUCUCCCCCCUUUUAAAUUCUGACGUCCUCAUCAUGCUCAAGCGCACUCACAAGUAGCAGACAUUAUGAAACUCAUCUUGCCAACCCACAACGGUCAUUAGCUAGGAGUCGCACUCUACUAACUAUAUAACCUUGGCUCGGUCAAAACUCAUCUCAUGCUUUUAGGUGAUGAUUGACUUUUAUACCAACUGUGAUGCUCCACUUUCUACGGGAUCACCCAUCCUAGGACUAUAGUUCUAGUAUGCUUAACCUUCUUAACCACUGGGGCCUAGCCAUCACCCAAAAUGCUAUAACUAGGUUUAGAAACUAACAAGUACCAGGCUAUGUGAGACUCGUCUCACUAGCCUUGGCAGGCCUUGUGGGGAGCCACUCUCCAUCUACAACGAUCGUUAACUAGGUUUGAAUAAUAAGUCUAGCGAGACAAGUCUCCCAAACCGGCCCUAACAAAGAGAUUUCAUACAUCAAUUCUCAGCCAAGAACCACCUCUUGAACAAAAUCCAAAAACUCUUCCAACACUAUUAGUACUAAAGAAAUCAUCUCAAAAACCCUUGUACAUAUCUCUAAACCAUCAAAUCUUACCGCCACUAGAGUCUAAUUUGAUAGAACACAAGAGGGAUUCAUCCAAGAGCUCUCAUCCUUGAAUUCCAGCUCAAAACCCAACCUUGGAGGAAUUAAAAGUGAUUAGGAGGAAAUAGGAACCAAAAUGAAGCUAUAGUAGUAGAGAAGAAGCAAGAAAAAUAGAUAAAGAAGAUGGAGAAAAAGAGGAAAAGAACUAGGGUUCUUUAGUGGAAGGGGAUAGAAGAGGUAGUUGAGGGUGAGGAUAAUCUUACAGAGUUAAAACA
Molecule: long non-coding RNA, 82230 nt
Filed under: Ananas comosus (pineapple)
Lineage: Eukaryota; Viridiplantae; Streptophyta; Magnoliopsida; Poales; Bromeliaceae
Description: long non-coding RNA (ACOM_LNC001048)
Source: RNAcentral